AUCAAGAGCAGUAGUAUUAGAGCUGACCAAGCUUCCAAACCAUGCGAGUAAAAUUAUUUAAAGACCCACUAUAAAAUCCUUGAAGCAUAAAGAAAUAGAUAUUUAGGUAUGAUGUUCAUACAAAGUGUUAUAUAUUUCCUUGCAUCAUAGUUUUAUAGGCAAACACCUAAUAAAAAAUAUAUAUAAGAAAGAGAGUAAUUUCGAUAAAAUACAACUCUUUCUCACUGUUACAAGUAUUAUAUCCCUGUCAAAGCCAUGGUGGUAGUCAUUGUUCUUAUAUAUAAAGUUCUUUAUAUUAAUAAUACAAAAUAAUAAUUACAUCAAUCUGCUAUACUAAUUGAUUCUCUACUCCCCAUCAAUCCGCUAUACUAAUUGAUUCUCUACUCCCCAUCAAUCCGCUAUACUAAUUGAUUCUCUACUCCCCAUCAAUCCGCUAUACUAAUUGAUUCUCUACUCCCCAUCAAUCCGCUAUACUAAUUGAUUCUCUACUCCCCAGGUAUUUUCCGCUUCCACGAUUGACAUCUGCAGCAUGAGAGAGAGAGAGAGAGAGAGGUGUUCGAUGGAGAGAGCGUCGAGGCAGUGGCAGCAGGCAGGACACGAGAGGGCGGCUGCAAGGGGUGAGGAGGGAACGAAGAAAGUGAGUGAUCCAAGUGUGCCCGACCACGCCGACGCAGACCGACGCUCGGUCGGCGACUCCCACUCCUCUUUCCACUCUCUUCUCCCCUCCUUACAUUCCUUCUCUCUCCCUCUCAUCUUCUUUGUCUCCUGCAUGGACCGAUCCAUGGCGCUGCAUCGAAUCGAGCAUCGUCGUCGUCGCCCAUUGCCUGCUGGUCACCGCCGCCGCCGAAAAAGCUCGCCUCCGCGCCCCAUGCCUCGGAUGCUCCUCAUGCAUCUGCCCCCUUGCUCUCCUCGCUGUGCUCACGCCCCGCAAACCACGUGCUUGUGCCGACGGGGAGAGUAGAGGAGUAGACGACCACGACCUCCUCCUCCUCACGCAUGUGCCCCUCCCUCCGAUCCAUGGCGCUGCAUCGAAUCGAGCGUCCCCGUCAUCGCCCAUGGCUUGCAGGUCACCGCCGCCGCCGAAGAAGCUCGCCUACGCGUCCGCAUGCCUCGGAUCCGGCAGGCGCGCUGCCCCCUGGUCCUCCUCCUCAUGUAUCUGCUCUCUUCAUCUCCUCGCUCUCCUCACGCCCCGCGAUAGUGUCCUGAUCACUCGAACCCAUCUGGGUGGAGAACACCUAAUUUAGGUGGUCAGAUCCUUAUAUAACAGUAAGUUCACCAUGUCAGCCUAGUAAAAUCCAAUCUAAACACCAUGAAAUUUACAGAAUAAAAUACAAACAAGCAUGCUCAGUUAAAUCCUGCCUAUAGAUUAUAGAACUGUGAAAUGCCUAAACGAUGAUAUGCUAACACCUUCUACAAGCAUUCUGUCACUUAGCUGGUGUCAAAAUAACAACACAAUCAGCCAUGUUUAUCAAUAUAGAAGUUAUGUGGUUGUGUCGAUAUAAAAGACGCUGCACAAUAGUACCUUGGGUGGCAUCAGGAAGAUAGCCUUUCUGGAGGUGGCUCAGGCUUGUCCUGCAAACAACCCAUUAUAUAUAUCGGCAACAAACCAUGCGCGUGUGCGCGCACGCACACACACAUACAAGGAAAGAGAACCAUUGUUCUUCAGUUAUUUCCAUGUAAACAGAUUUUGAACGACAAUGUGAGAACAUGAGGACAUAAAGAUCACAAACAACAGUACAGGAAACAUAAACAUUCAUGUAGCGACCCUGUUAAAUAUUGUUCCCACUCAGCAGCUAUCCCAUAGAUAGAAAGGCGAACAACAAGGAACACAUGUAUGAGAUAAAUGGUGACCUACAGUCUUAUGUAGGCGCAUCAAUAAACUACACAACAUUCUUGGAGAAAAUAGAGAAUGCAAGAAAAUACAUACAAAUGCAUUGAGUCAAUAAUCAAAUAACAUACUUCUUAUUGUCUAUUUUGCUUGUAAUAACAAAGCCAAAACCAUUUGCUAUUUCAAACGUAAACUCACGCAUCUCUUUUACAAAUCAGACAAGAGCACCUACCAUCAAGAGCAGCCUGAAACAACGUCAUGAAGCAAGAAACAACAGUGGCACUAAAAACAUACUUUACUUUUGUAAGUGCGAACUUCUACUUCCAUCCAGCGACCAAAUUAUAGGACUGCCUUCUGCAAGGAUUUGAAGAAAAGAGUUACCCCAAAUGCAGACUUCUACAUAUGAGAAACUGCAACAACCUGCUUGUCCUCUUGUACAAAUUCCUCAUAUGAACAAUCAUAUUUCCAUGUGUAAAAUAUAAAUACAAAAUACUGGUUAUUCUACCCAUACAAGACAAGCUGAAGAAUAAUAAUCUAACCUUUCAUGGAUCACCAUAAUAAAAGCUAUUGUAGAAAAUAAUUUGGGCAAUCAAUUUCUGUGAGACCAAAAAAUGCAAGAAAAGCCGAUUAGUUGGGUCAGAAUAUUGCACCACUCGAUCAUCUCGGCAUUAUAGUUGCAGCCACCCAUAAAAACCAUGAAUGCUUCACACUAAAUAGGCAUAUACAUCGGAAUUUAGAGGGGAAUCACCGGAUGUAGUGUGCUAUGAGGCUGUUGAACUUGGUUGUCAUGUUGUCACUGCGCUGGAAACCUCGCUGAAAAGAUUCAAGAAGAAGCACCUAGUUGAGAGAGGGAGGCAAGGUAGAUGAAGAGAUAGAUCGGGAUGGAGUACAGGAGGGGAAAGAGAAACGGGGGAGGAUGAGCAUACCUGCAGCGUUCAUGGACUCUGCGAAUAUAAACGGUGGCCGUUGUUGUUGUCCUCGCGAGAACCUGAUGGAUACCCAAACCCUAGGUGCAAAAUAAAAAUUAAUUUAGGGAGGAAGAAAUCAAAAGGAGGCUCUUACACAGGAGGAAGUCCAAGGAUGCACUGAUCCAACUCCCUUGCUGCGUCCACCAUUUUCGUGUAAAUAGGUGAAAAGUGGAAAAAGGAGAUGGGAUAGGGGCUCACCUAUUCAACAAUCUCAAUAAGGCCACGCUGCCGGCGGAGAGGAUGCAUCGACCCCUUCCCCUCCUCACCCUCACGCCCCGCGACCCGCGCGCUUGCGCCGACGGGAGAGGGGAGGAGCCCACGGCCACGGCCUCCUCCUCCUCACGCAUCUGCCACUACCUCUCCUCACGCCCCGCGACCCCGCGCCGACGGGAGAGGAGAGGAGCCGACGGCCACGACCUCCUCCUCCUCACGCAUCUGCCACUCCCUCUCCUCGCUCUUGCGGCUGCCCGGUCGCUUCUCAUUUCCUUCUUAUCUCGCAGGAUUUUUUUACCUCUCGCGCGACGCGCUUGGCGGCGGCGGGCAGCGAGGUCGUGCGGGUCCUGCGGAGCGUGGCGGCGGACGAGGGAUGGAGGGAGGAGGGAGGGGGCUGGUGUGCUGUGGAUUGGGGGCUGGGUUUAUACGCUAGCGUGAAAUGACGAAAAUGCCCCCGUCGGGGCAUGGAAUUUACAGGCGGUGGCAGGCCGGUGGCAAGCACUAUUCAUAGCGUUAUAGGAAGCAACGUGGAUGGCUUCCUCCUGGCUAGGAGUCUAGCAUCUUUUAUAAAGAGAAAUUAAUAGGCUGAGUUCUUAGGUGAUACAAUCUUUUAGAUGAAUAUGCCCAUAUAGUUGACCAUGCGUUUCUUCUCAUAAAUUCGCAAUUAAAAUAUAUCCGGAUCUGCCUCUCCUGCUACUUUCUAUGACCGAAAUCUGUUAGACAUGCUAAGCUCACCUAAUUAGGCUAGUUUUCUGCUUACAAUAAAUAUUGCAUGGCUGUUGAUGUGACACUUCCAUGCAGCAUGCAUGUGGUAGAUGGAGACGUGUUGCAUGCAUGAUCCCUCNNNNNNNNNNNNNNNNNNNNNNNNNNNNNNNNNNNNNNNNNNNNNNNNNNNNNUUCCGAUUCUUUCUGUUAUUCUUCACCCGAUCAGCGUGGCGCGCUUGUGCAUCUCGAGGUAGUGGGAUGGCGCGGCAAAUCCGGUUCACAUCAAGCUGGCCGGGGUAGUUGGUAGUUUUCUUGUUUGUAACAGAUAAAAAUCAAGCAAAGAGUAGAAAACGCUACGCAGUUACGGUAGCAUCAAAAACUACUCGUCUCUCCCAUGUUCAUCUCUCUCGCAAGUUCCCUCUCUCGCUGAUCCGGUGACGACAUUUGGUAUCAGAGCCUUGGUGUUUGAUCCCUAAAGGCCGGCGGUGUGUGAUCCGCGGAGUUCAUGUCGGACGACGAGAAGAAGAAGAAGGCGACGGCGGCGGGGCAGUCACCAUCGGCCAGAGUGCCGCUUGCGCGCCUCACCGGCAGUGUCAGCGGCGAGAUUCGCAUCAUCGAGCGAGUCUUGCGCGAGUCGGAAGGCUCGUCGGCGUCCAUGAUGCUGACGAAGGCAAACUACAUGGAGUGGCCCCUUGUGAUGCAGGUUAAGCUGCAGGCCGCCUGUCUCUGGACCGUGGUCACCGAUUGCACCGACGACGAGCGCGACGACAGGCGCACCCUCUCCGUCAUCCUCACGGGUGUGGCGUUGGAGAUGCUUCGUGUUCUCGCGGCCAAGGACACGGCCAAGAAGGUGUGGGAAACAAUCAAGACGCUUCGCAUGGGGAGCGAGCGUGUGCGGGAGGCCAAGGCGCACGUGCGCCGGCGGGAGUUCGAGGACCUCCGCUUCAAGGACGGCGAGACCGUCAAGGAUUUUGCACUACGGCUCACCGGCGUCCUCGCCGAUCUGGAGUUGUACGGUGAUCCGGUGACGGAGCACAAGGUGGUCCAAAAAUUCCUCUGAGUCGUGUCGCGCAAGUAUAGGCAGAUGGUCAUGACGAUCGAGUCGCUGAUUGAUCUCAAGAAGAUGACGGUCGAGGAGUUGACUGGACGAGUAUCGGCGUGUGAGGACCACUACGGCCUCGACGACGCCGCGCACUACGGCGGGCAGCUCCUACUCACCGCCGAAGGGUGGGACGCUCGCGAGCACAAGUACGGUGGCGGAUCGUCAUCCGGUGGCAGCAGCGGAAAGGGAAAGUCAUCAGGCAAAACGCCGACCAAGGGCGGCGGCGGAGGCGGGAAGCCGCCGUCCGGUAACAGUUGCGCCGGUUGAUCCGGCGGCUCCGAUGGCAAGAAGAAGGGCAAAUGCUAUUAUUGCGGCAAGGUCGGACACUGGAAAAAGGACUUCUGGUCAUGGCUGGAGAAGCAGAAGGAAGAAGGGAAGAAGGAACAGGCUAACCUCGUCCGUGAAGAUCGCGAUGAACACGAUCAGGGUCUGCUCAUGGCCGUGGUCACCAACGUCUCCACACCUGAGCUGGUGGCGCCCCAAGAUGUGUUUCUGAACGAGGAAAAGGUGAUUCCCGUGCCUUCACCCACCGGCCUCUGGUACUAUGAUACAUGGGCGUCCAGCCAUAUGACUGGGAGAGGAACAUGUUUUCUACACUUGAUGAAGGUGUGCAUGGCACGGUGAAAUUCGGAGAUGGCUCUCUGGUGGCUAUCAAGGGCAGGGGCGCAGUUGUGUUUCGCUGCCAGAAUAGUGAACAUUCCGAGCUUAUGUAGCAAUAUCAUCUCAGUAGGGCAGUUGGAUGAGGGUGAAUGUAGGAUAGGGAUUGAAGAUGGGAUCAUGACCAUCCAAGAUCCGGGUCCGCGCACCCUGGCUCGCGUCAGACGGACGGCAAGCAGACUAUACACGGGCUUGCUGACCAUUGACGCCCCGGCCUAUCUCCUCACCAAGACUGAAGAUGUCACCUGGCGCUGGCAUGCGAGGAUGGGACACCUACACUUCAGAGCACUAUGAGCCAUGUCUUUGAAGGAAAUGGUACGCGUGAUGCCGGUCAUUGACCGUGUUGAGGAGUAUUGUGAUGGUUGUGCAUUGGGAAAACAACACCGUGCGCCUUUUCCUCAAGUGGUCGGACACAUAGCAGAGAAAGGCUUUGAGCUUGUUCAUACAGACUUGUGUGGGCCGAUCACACCAACCACACCGGGGGCAGUAAGUACUUCUUGUUGAUAGUUGACGAUUACGGGCGAUACAUGUGGUUGGAGCUGCUGAAAUCCAAGGAUGAAGCUCAUCGAAAGUUCACGAAGGUACAUGCAAUGGCUGAGAACGAGGGAAAAUGCAGGCUUCGCGCAUUCCGGUCUGACCGGGGCGGUGAGUUCAACUCCAUUGAAUUCAGAGAAUACUGCGAGCAACUGGGCAUCAAGAGAACGGAGUGGUUGAACGUCGGAAUCAGACAGUCGUCGAAAUGGCGCGUUGCCUGCUUAAAAGCAUGGACGUGUCGUCAUAUUUCUGGGCUGAAGCAGUGAAGACUGCGGUGUACCUGCUCAGCAGAGCUCCCACGCGAAGCUUGGACGGGGUGACGCCGUAUGAGGCUUGGCAUGGCCACAAGCCAAGCGUGCUGCACCUACGUGUGUUUGGGUGUGUGGCACACGUAAAGAAGCUUGGCCCUGGAGUGACGAAGCUCUCGGAUCGAUCAAUCCCAAUGAUCUUCGUCAGCUAUGAGGAAGGAACCAAGGGCUAUCGUGUGUACAAUCUGGCUACGCAAAAGGUACAAGUCACACGUGAUGUUGUGUUUGAGGAAAGCAUGCCAUGGAGCUGGAGCACCCAGGACGCGGUCACCGCGCCCCCGCCCACGCCGUCGACGUUCUCGGUGGUCUAUGCUGAUGACCAGGGUGUGCACGAACUGGACACUGGUGGCUCGCCCGCAUCUACGCCGAGGAGCACGGCGCCACCACCCUCUACACCACCAAUGGGGUCGCCGCUGAACUUCGUCGACACGCCGACCACGUCGAUGCGUGGCACGCCGCAGACCGAGCCAUGCACGGCGGCUGCGAUGAGGGAGAUAUGCUGGGCCACGCCGCCCACACAUGAUGAUGGGCGCGAUGUUGACUCCGGACCUAUACGGUACCGGCGCAUGUCGUGCGUCUUCGACGAGGCUGAAGAUGAGGCCAUUCGAGAAGAACUCGAGCUCUGUCUGCUCAUGGCGGAGGAUCCGUGUGAGAUCACGUAGGCUCUGAAUGACGGCGCAUGGUAGGUGGCAAUGGACACUAAGACGGCAUCCAUUGGUGAGAACAACACCUGGGAACAUGCUCACUUGCCGGCCGGCCACAAAGCCAUCGGUCUGAAGUGGGUGUAUCUCGUCAAGUGCGACCCCGACGGCAACAUCGUCAAGUACAAGGCACGUCUCGUGGCAAAAGGGUAUGUGCAGCGUGAAGGUGUGGACUUCGAGGAGGUCUUUGCACCAGUGGCACGGAUGGAGACAGUGCGGCUACUCCUCGCGCUCGUCGCGCACUCCGGCUGGGAGGUGCACCAUAUGGAUGUAAAGUCCGCCUUUCUUAAUGGUGACCUCGCUGAGGAAGUGUACGUGGCACAACCGUCGGGGUACGUCACCUCCGGUAAGGAGCAGCAGGUUCUUCGGCUCAGAAAGGCACUCUACGGGCUGCGACAAGCUCCGAGGGCCUGGUACGCGAAGCUAGACGAGACCAUGUGCAUGCUUGGGUUCACGCGCAACCCACUGGAGCAUGCCGUGUAUCGCCGCGGUGAUACACACUCAUUUCUGCUAGUGGGUGUGUAUGACGACGACCUCAUCAUCACCCGCACCAGCAAGACUUCCAUCGACGAGUUCAAGAAUCAAAUGCAGGAGCUAUUCAAAAUGAGCGAUCUCGGUCCCUUGAGCUACUAUUUGGGCAUCGAGGUAAUUCAAUCCAAUGAUUCUAUAACCUUGUGUCAGAGGACCUAUGCAGAGAAAAUUCUUGAAGCUGCUGGAAUGGAAGGGUGCCAUGGAUGUCACACCCAUGGAGUGCCGGCUCAAACUGAAGAAGGAUGAUGAUGCAAAACCUGUCGAUCCUUCUCCGUACCACAUCAUAAUUGGUAGCCUGAGGUACUUGGUGCACUCAAGGUCGGACAUCACACAUGUGGUUGGGGUAGUGAGCAGGUUUAUGGAGAAGCCCACUGCCACUCACUAGACAGCCGUGAAGCAAAUUCUUCGGUAUGUGAUAAGUACAUUGAGCUAUGGAUGUUGCUACCGGCGGGGAUCAGGCAAGACUCAACUUGACGAAUUCAGUGACAGUGAUCACGCCUGAGACGUCGGAGAUCGUAAGAGCACCUCGGGUCAGAUCUUCUUUCUUGGUGAGAACACUGUGUCAUGGACCUCUUAGAAGCAAAAGAUUGUGGCUAUCAGUUCUUGUGAGGCGGAGUACGUAGCAGUGGCGGUGACAACAUGUCGAGGUCUCUGGCUGAGUCGUCUUCUCGCAGAAAUGAGAGGGGAAGAAGCCAACACUUUCAAGCUUCUAAUGGACAACAAGUCUGCUAUUGCACUUGCGAAGAAUCCCGUUCAUCACGACCGCGGCAAACAUAUUGAUGUCAAGUUCCACUUUAUCCGAGAUUAUGUUGAAAAGAAGGAGGUGCAAAUCGAUCAUGUUGGCACAAAUGAUCAGGUUGCUGAUGUGUUGACGAAGGCACUGGGUCGGGUGAAGUUCAUCGAGCUACCAUAGAUGCUUGGAGUGAAGGAGGUCAGCAAAGGACGUUGAGCUUAGGGGGAGAAAUGUUAGACAUGCUAAGCUCAGGUCAUUAGGCUAGUUUUCUGCUUACAAUAAAUAUUGCAUGACUGCUGAUGUGACACUUCCAUGGAGCAUGCAUGUAGUAGAUGGAGACGUGGUGCAUGCAUGAUCUCUCUUUCGAUUCUUUCUGUUAUUCUUAACCCGGUCAGCGUGGCGUGUUUGUGCAUCUGGAGGUCAUGGGAUGGCGCGGCAAAUCCGGAUCACAGCGAGCUAGCCGGGGUAGUUGGUAGUUUUCUUGUUUGUAACAGAUAAAAGAUCAAGCAAAGAGUAGAAAACGCUGCGCAGUUACGGCAGCACCAAAAACUACUCGUCUCUCCCACGUUCGUCUCUCUCGCAAGUUCUCUCUCUCUCUGAUCCGGCGACAACAAAAUCCUGCACCCAACUUUUUUCUCCAGGAAUUGCACCUAACUUAUUUGCAUACACAAGUUUUUUCUUGAUAUUGCGUGAAUGUUCUAAUACAUAUGCAAGUAGAAAACAAAAAUGGAGGAGCAAGGAGGAGAAUUGCGAGGCUUGCACGCACGACAACAAUGAACUAAUCUUUUUAGUUUCGUGAUGAUGCACAUCACCUCGUCCCUUCCAAAUUCGCCUUGAGAAUGGGAUGUGGACUAUGUAUCAUACACAAAAGACACUUUACUUAAUAGUUCCAUUGUUGUGAUCCUACAAUUAAGAUGUAUUAAACUUACCAAGUCAGCCUUAACUGAUUGCAUUAUGCCAUCAAAGUCCACUCCCCAUUUCUCAGCCAAAAACCAUAGACAUCAACAUAUCAGCACAACCCCAUACACCCAGACUCCAAUUUAUAAGAGAAGGCCAGAUUACCUGCACAACAAGCUCAAUGCCUCAAAGAUGCUUGUUCUCUCUUUCUAGACGGUCCUCCCUAAAGACUGCACACGAUGUGAGAACAUCAUCCUUUUAGACGUAUUCUUUGCCUUCUCUGCUUUGCUAAAUACUCCCUUCGUUCUAUAAUAUAAAAGUGUUUUUGACACUACAUUAGAGUGAAACACGCUCAUAUAUUAUGGGACACAUGGAGUGACUCAUUAGCAAUUCCAACUACGGUUCGCAUCUACAUUGCUACAAACAAUAUAGAAUAGAUAUAUACAUUACUUGUAUCUACAGUUUUAUACAUUACUUGUAUGCAAGAAGGAGGUAUAGUAUAAGCAUUGCUUUUAUUAAUAAAUGCAAAGUGUAACAUACAAUACAUCGAUCAAACAAUUCUAUAUUUGGCCUACACUGGCCAUACCUAGCAAGAAUCAAGAUGGUAAUUAGGAGCUCUCUCUAAAGAAACUAACUCGUGUGUAGGUUUAUUAAGGCCCUGUUUGGAACCACUCAGAUUAUAUAAUCCGAUUUUUAUAAUUUAUUAUGUCUCCAAACAGGACAAGUUAUAUUGCAGUUUAUAAAAAUUAGAUGGUCAGAUUAUUAAAAACUAAUAAUCUACUCUACCCCAGCUAAAAUCAGAUUAUGGAUUACUAAUGACCCAUUACCCUUGAAAACUUGGAGAUAAUUACCUAGUGCCACUGCCACCAUCCUCCAAACAUGCCCACCUAGAUUAUUACCUCUGCAGCUAAAAAACAAAGGACAGACAUGUCAUUGUACAAUAUAAAACCUGGAUUACAGUUUAUAUAAUCUGGCCUCCAAACAUGUCCAUCUAGAUUAUUUUUAUAAACCAGAUUAUAUAAUCUAUCUUCAUAAUCAAGAUUAUUAUAAUCUAUUGUGAUUUCAAACAGGGCCUAAUAUCUGUUACAACUUUCUCAUCCAUAAAUUGAGGGACUUGUUCAAGUUUUUUAUGGCCAUCAGGAGGACAUACCAAUUGGAGAUAAGUUCCUUUUCUCAUGUAGCGUAGUAUCUAGUUAUGAAGUGAAUAAAAAAGAAAGAGGAGAUUGUAUGGUAGAUUCGUAGUAUAAUUAAUUGCAGAAAAGAUUGCCUACUGCUGCACUAAACGAAUUGAACCAAUAAUGGGUGAAAUCAAUCCUAAAGUUGCUACUGUAGUUGUUAUAAAGCAUAAAACAGUACCUUUAUGUCACAACUAACUUAGUUUAGAAAGAAAAAAAAACAAGAUCACCCGUAUAGCAAGACACGUGCCAAACUAAAAUUAUGAACUGCCAACAAAUCAUAGCCAACGAAUCGUGCGCAAAAAAAGUAUAAUACGGAAAUAGUUUACGACUAGCUCAAUCACACUAGACCGAAAGGAAAAAAGGUACUUGAGGGGCAUGAUUGAGACGAGGAGAGAAGGAAAGGCGGGAGAAGAGGUUGAUACCGUGGCUUUAAGAUGUAGGCGAAUGGGGACUGCGAGGGCUAUGUGUGACCCGAUAGCUCAUAUACAACGCAUAGGUCACUCGCAAGCGAGAUAGCAUGCACGUCCGAGCUCCUGAUCCAGUGUAUGGGCCAGCCUAUUUUGCGGUUUAUCCCCCAGCAGGUUAUUUUUGUUUUCUCUACCUGUUUAAUAUUUUUUCUUUUUCUUUACUUUUCUAUUUUUUAUUUCUCUUUAUUUUUCCUUUUUUCUUUUCUUUUUUCCCUUUCGUUUUUAUUUCCUUUUCCCUUUUCCUUUUUUUCAUUUUCCUUUUUCUAUUUCUUUCCUCUUCAAUUUUUUCAUUUUUUGCGAUUUUUUCUUUUCAAAUUCAUGAACUUUUGUUCAUCAAAUUCAAAAAUGUUCAACCAUGUAAAAAAUGUCAUAGGAUUUAAAUAUAAUUCAUAAUUCAACAUUUAUUCAUGAAACUACAAGAUUUUCAUGAAAAUCUAUUUUUGUUUGCAAUAUACAAAAAAAUCACAAAAUUCAAAAGUUGUUCACUGAACUAAAUAUUUUUUCAUCAUUUUUCAAAAAAAAAUUGAAUUCAAAUUUUACUCAUCAUGUUGAAAACAUAUUCAUCGAAUUCAUAGUUUAUUCAUAAAAUAGAACUAAUUUUUCAUAUGUAUUGAAAAGUGCUCGAAACAAUUUCACCAAAAUAAAAAUGUUCAUGAAUAUUAUAACAAAUGUUCAUUUUCUGAAAUGGCGGAAAGUUUUUUAUUCAAGAACUGUUUUUAACAAUUCACAAUGUUUUUCAAUUUUUUGAACUUGUUAUAAUCCCGGUUUUUUUAACAUGGAAUGAAACAAAAACAGAAAAUAAAAAUGGAAAAAUGAAAUCUAAAACAAAAACAAAAAAACAGGGAGCACCCUCCCGCGCAUGGCCGGUCCAACAGGGUGCUGCCCUGACUGGGGCGCCUCACUCUCCAAAUAAUGGUUUCCGUCUCGAGCAACUUGUUACCGAGCACUCCUUUGGGAGCCUCCCAACGAUAACCCUCGCGUGCUGUCACUUGGCACGUUCUCAGCCGCCGCCACGUGUCACGCUCUGAACAUUUCCUUCGUAUUUUGCUUUUUUCUUUUUCGCAUGUGUUUUUGGUUUUUAGAGUGGUUUUUUAGGUGUUUCGGUUUUUCACCGGUCUAUCGUAAUUUUUGGACGAAAAAAACAUUUAAUUUUUUUCGCAAAAAAACCGCGUUUUCUGUUUCUUUUUACGGAAAAAACAUGUUUUCUCUUUGUUUUGCGAGAGGGACGGCUUUGCUUCCGCGAGAGGCACGGCCGUGCCUUUCGGAAAGAGAAAAAAAAACACGUUUUCUGUUUUUGUUGUGAGAGGGACGGUUUUGCUUCCGCGAAAGGCACAGUUUUGCAUUCGCAAGAGACAUGUGCCUCUCGGAAAGGAAAAAAAAAUUGCUUUCUGUUUUCUUUCCCGCGCAAGGCACGGUUUUGCUUACGCGAAAGGCACAGUUUUGCUUUCGCAAAAGGCACGCCCGUACCUCUCCCGAAAGGAGAAAAACGUGUUUUCUGUUUUUUUUUGCGAGAGGCACGGUUUUAUUUCCGCGAAAGGCAGGGUUUUACCUUCGUGACAGGCACGCCCGUGCCUCUCCUGAAAAGGAAAAAAAACACGUUUUCUACUCUUUUUUUUUCCGUGAGAGGCACGGGUUUGCUUUCACGAGAGACACGGUUUUGUCUUUGUGAAAUGCACGACCCGUACCUCUCGCAAAGGGGAAAACGUGUUUUAUGUUUUUUUUUCUAUCGCAUGAGACACGGUUUUUUCGUUCAAUUUUUUUCUUCCGGUUUUUUUCGUGAAAAAAAGUUCGUCAAAAUCUAUCAACAUGGAAUCUAGUUCUGAAGAUCUCGACGCGAGAAAGCCCAUGGUGAAAACGGUUCGAGAUUUGUACGCACGGUUUAAGAGAUAAAACGUUUUAAAAAUAUAGAUCUACGAAAAAAGAAAAAAACUCCCUCCUUGCGAUAAGUGGCACGCAUGCAAUGCGUCAUUUGUCGCAACCUAUGAAAAUGGGAGUAAUUGUUGAAAGAUGUACUCGCUAACUAGUGAUUUCGUCGUCUCACCCAUAGAUUCGAGCUCCUAUUUACCGCCUUGUGAUGUCGCUUCGUACAGGACGCGCCCGACUGGGCCAGCCCAUUGGGGCUGAACCGGAGUUAGCGUUCGGGAGGAAAAUGCUGAAAAAAAGGUAUUCAGAUUGCAGAUCUCGUGUUUGUGCAUUCAACUGGCUCGCCAGUUCAACUACUAAGUGUUGUUAACAAAUACAUAGCACGAGCUUUAUAUAUAACUAACAACAACAGCGUAAAUUGCAGAUCUUUUGGAAUUUUGAAAAAUUCUUAAAUGCGAACGUCUUUAAAACUUUUAGAACAUUUUCCAAAACUCGAAUUUUUUUUGAAAUGCGAACUUUUUCUAAUUGGUGAAAUAAUUGAAUAUGAAAAAAAAAUGAAAUCCAGAAUAAUUUUUGAAAAUAUGAAUUUUGGUUAAAGUGUCUAAUAAUUUUUAAAUAACAUUCAGAACAUUUUUUGAAAAUAUCAAAAAAAUUUGAAAACAUGAUUUUUUUUAAAUUUGCGAACAAUUUAUGAAAUGUGAAUGAUUUUUAAACUCUUCUAGAAAUGGGAACAUGAACAUUUUUUAAAACAGCUGUGAAAUAUUUUUCAAAUCAGGAGCAUUUUUCGAAAUACCAAACACAUUUUGAAAAAUCUGUGAAAAUUUUCACAUUACAAAUAUCAAACGAGUACAUUAUUUUAAAUUACAAACAAUUUCUAAAAUGUCCCGAAUAUUUUCGGAUAUAUAGGAACUUUCUUUAAAUUGUGAACAAAUUUUACAAAACCUGAAUUAUUUUUGAAUUAACGAACAUAUUUUGAAAACAUGAACAUAUUUGGAACUUGUGAACAAAUUUGGAAAGCUAGAAUAAUUUUUGGAAUUUCAGAACAUUACUUGAAUUUUCGAUAAAUUUUCACUCUUAUUUGUGCAGAUAAUUUGAAAGUGGCAAAAAAUUUAAAAAUAAUUCGGUAACAUGAAGUUUCUGAAAUUUGUUAACGUUUUCAAACAUUAUUAAAGUGGAAACAUUUUUUAAAACUCCCGAACGUUUUUUGAAUUGGUGAAAAAAUUGAACAAGUUUUGGAAUUUAUGAACAAGGUUUCAAUUGUAUACAAAAAUAAAAAACAAAACAUUUUCAAAAAUCAGAAACUUUUUUUUGCAAAUAAUGACCAUUUUUUAACAGAAACAUUUUUUUGAAAUUCCAGAACAAAAGUUAGAAACACGAACACAUUUUGAAACUUCCAAACAAAAUUAAUGCACAAAUAUUUUAAAAUGUGCGAACAAAUGCUCUUCAGAAAUGAACAUUUGUUUCUGAAUUACCGAAUAUUUUUGAUAUGAAAUGAACCAAUUUUGAACUUCUUCUUUUUGUGGAAUUUAUGAACAAAAUUUGAAAACGGCAGUACUUUCUUUAGAAGUGAACAAAAAUAUAACAGUUCGAACAUUUCUUCGAAACGGAAAUUAAAUUUGCGAAAGAAAAAUGAAAAUGAAUAAAAAGAAAAAAGUAAAGAAAAACGAAUCAAAAAGGGAAAAAAAGGAAUUAAGAAGAAAAUCAAAAAAGGAAAUCAAAAAAGGAGAACAUAUUUUUUAAUUCAAUAACCUUCUAGAAGUUUCCAUAAUUGUAAAAAACAGGCUGGACAUCUGUAGAAGAUUCACAAAACUGAAAUAGUAGCAACCACUAACGGGCCAGCCCGUAUCACGACGAUCGUCCGUGAACCUUGUGCGAAACCUCGAUAGCUUGGCGCGACAUGCCUUUUAUAGAAUUUUCCGCAAUUCCUAAUAAUAAUCGCCUGGGUUGCUCCUUGCUUCCGCUCUCUCGCGUCAGUCGCUGUGUUUGAUUCUAUUUUUCUUUUGUUUUGUUAUUUUUUUUCUCUGGAUUUCUAUAUUUUUCUUCUCGGUUCUUCAGCUUUUCUUUUUUCUUCAUUAUAUUUGAGUUUUCUUUGCUUUAACGAUUUCCUUCUGUUUUUCUUUUUUUCUUCAUACUUUUCUUUUCUUUUUUUCUUUCUUCGGUCCUUCAGAUAUUUUUUUAUCCUUCAAUUUUCUUUUUGUUUCUUUGUUUCUUAAUUCAUUUACACUUUUUCCAUAGUCAUCUUACAUUAUAUAUAUAUAUAAAAUAUUAGUUUAUAUAUGAUUAAAAAUAUUAAAUACACAUUAAAUAUUUAUCAAGUAAUGAAAACAUUUUUACCUUCAAAAAUAAUUUUCUAAAUUGUACAGUUUUUAUAUAAAAAUACAAGAGUACAUUUACGAAACAUGUGAAGAUUUUUAAUAACGUGACUUACUUUUUUUAAAUAUGUGUCAUAUUUUUAUUGUCACAAACAUUUUUUAUACAUAUGAUACAAUUUUCGGGAAUACCAUAUACAUUUUUCAACUUUUACGUUUACAUUUAUACCUUUUUGAAAUAUAUGAGAAUUUUUUUCCUAUACAUGUUUAAUAUUUAUGAAAUGUAAAAUUAACAUUUUUCAAAACAUGCUUAACAGUUGUUAAAUGUGACUUACAUUUUUUUUACAUUUGUAUAAACAUUUUUUGAAGUGUAACUUACUUGUUUUAAAAUUAUCGCAAACGUUUUUCAUAUAUAUGGUUAACAUUUUUCAUAUAAACAAUAGACAGUUCUAGUUUAUUCAUUUUUCAUAUACAUCGGAAGCAUUUUGCUAUACACGUUUACAUUUUUUAAUACCAGAUUAAAAAAAUCUACAUUUGAAGUUAAGUGUCUUUGUAUACGUACUCCUUCCGGUUUUUUUACUCUGCGUAUAAGAUUUGUCCCAGGUUAAGUUUUACAAAGUUGACCAAAUUUAUGUUGAAAAAUAUCAGCAUCUACAAUACUGAAUAUAUAUAGUUUGAAACUACAUUUCGUAAAGAAUCUAAUGAUAUAUUUUGGUAUUGUAAAUGUUGAUUAUUUUUUUCUGUUUUGUUAGGUCAAAGAAGAGAUACUAUGAAUUUAGAAAAAAAAAUUAUAUGCUCACUAAAAAGAAAUGGAAACAAUAUGUGUGGAUGUAUGUAAUGAUCCGAAAUAUAAACAAAACAAAAAAGUGAAGAAAAAUGAGAAAAUACGCUUGAUGUCUGCAUAAGCGGACUCGCCUCUCGUGCGCCGCUUAAAAAGGCUAAUUAGCUUAGCAAACAGGCCAUGAAAACGAUUUUUUCCUACCAAACUUAUGAGGCCCGCAAGGCCUACUAACGAAGUCACCUCAUGGCGAGAACAAAGCAGAAAACAACUGCAAUAGCUGAUAGGUUGUCGGUAAUUUGUCAUCAGGCGGUCGCUUGCUGCUAAUUGCACCACCCCAACGCUCGCCGUUGCUUGCGCCACCGAUGAGAUGUCGAGUAAGUUUCAAGAGGUGUCUUCAAGGUGGAGUAGUGGACUAGAUAAAAAGUUCUUAUAACUCAUGAGCUUACAUGCGUGCAUUUCAAGAUGGGAAUGGAUCGGUUUGGCCUGCUAGGACACUCACAUAACCGAAAAAGUCAAGGCCAAUGGACCAAGCGGGUUGACCUUAAAUGAUAUAUGGGUGGACGGAGCCGGCAACAUGCGACAUGUUGGGUCGGGCCGACCAAGUCCUUGUGUUUGUCAAAUACAAGACAUGCGAGGAUACUAAGAUUAUAUGGACUAUAUCACAGCUCCUUAGCUUGAUGCUUUUCCAUGUAGCUCAUCCCAACUAGUUGCAGCUCGUUGGUCAUCUCUUGGCUGAGUACUCUUCUAAUGAUUAUUCGACCAUCUUCACGUGAAGUGACAUUCAUAAGCUACAAAGGGCCUAUGGUUUUGAGACUUUUUUACAUUUACUCGAGGAAGAACUACUCUCUCUGUUUCUAAAUGUAAGUUCUUUUAGAGAUUUCAUCAAGGGACUAUAUACGGAGUAAAAUAAAUGAAUAUAUACUCUAAUGUAUGUCUAUAUACAUUCGUAUGUAGUUUUCUAGUGAAAACUCUAAAAAGACUUAUAUUUAGGAAUGAAGGAAGUAGAAAGUAAGCAAAAAAGAGUUCACCCCUUACUGUUAAUAAAUAAAUCAAUCCGUCUCUUACUCUAACGGGAGUGUAGCUAAGGAAGUCCAUGCCUCACACACACGAACACAUGCUAGAAUCAUGGCUCCCAUGUUCAUCCUAAGGCCUAUAUUUGUAGCGCAUGAUUGUCUAAUAAUCACUAUUUCUUGAGGUCUUUAGCUUGAUGCUCUUUCAAAACUUUAAUCUUUCAAUAUCAUCAUUUUACUGGAUGUGAAAAGAUUGGAUAUGUGGAAAGAUAAGAUCUUGUCAUUUUAUAGGAUUAUGUAAAUAGAGUUGUACAUGUGAAUUCACUGGAUUUUGGGUCGGCCUCAUGUACCCAAUGGGCGAGUGAGGCCACAAAUUUUUGAUGAAAUGGGUCGGCCCAUGGCCUCACAUAUUGAUCUAGGGGACAUAGGGGGCAGGUCCAUGGCGAGGUUCAGGUCGACCCAUUCCCAUCCCGAAGUGCAUUGGUUGCAAUAAAAAAGGCUAAAUUGUCCGACUUGACUUUGAGGCGAUUUCCGACGAUUGUCCGCCGACUGAUGUACUACCGUAUCAUCCCCUCCCCUUCUCUCUUGGAUCUCCUCUCUCCUCUCUCACACACUUCUCCUCUUGAUCCCCUCCACCUCAUCUCCUUUCUGCAACCCCUUUGUCCCUCUCAUUGUCAUGCCCAUCUCAAUCCCCUUUUUUCGUGUUCUUCCCUGCCGUUGGGAUAUGGUUCUUGGGUUGCUUCGAUCCUCCCCGUUGCGUUCAUAGUUGUCUCCCUCUACUCACAGGAAAUGAUAGGGGUCGUUGUAAUAGAAGAGGUUUCCACUUUAUUGGGUCCUGCUGAUUUUAAGAACUCAUGGUCCUUUGGAGCACAUGAAUCAAAUUUAUCCUAUUGUGAUAUCGGCUAGGGGAUUCCUCGGAUUGGCUCCAUGAAGUUUAUCGACUGGAACUCUCGAAGCAUGGGCCGAAGCCUUGGCAACAAUCUCAUGAUGUUCAUGGCAAAUCUCAUCUGCUCCACAAAAGCUCAAGUAGUUUUUAUUUCUGAACUUAGAUCCUCUAAGGUCAAAUCUCAAGAUAUUUUGAAUCGAUUCGACAUAUCGAAUAUUAUAGUUGUUCCUUUGAGAGGAGCCUUGGGAGGGUUAUGGUUGAUGUGGAAUGAUGAGAUGCAAGUUUCUGUUUAUAGUGCCUUUUUUCUUGUUAUUUUAGCUAAUGUUGUGCACACGGCCUGGGGUAUAUAGUUUGGGUUAGUAUGCAUCUAUGGUGACCCAUUUCAAGCCUAGCAUUAUUGCCUUGGGUAUAUAGUUUGGGUUAGUAUGCAUCUAUUCUAUUAAGGAUGAAAGUGAUGUGAUCCAUUUCAAGCCUAGUCUUAUUGCCCACUUUGUGGAUUAUUUCACAUUCAUUUCCGCCUCAAAUAAUAUGCAAGUUUGUGCACCUUCCCUUGCUACCCAACAUGUGACUAAUUCUGGAGAUCCUACAUACUCAAUUCCAAACAAACAUGAAGUCUUAGGGAUUCUUAAAGAAAUGGAGUUGAAUGCUUCACUUGGUCGUGAUGGCUUCAACCUUGAGUUUUACCUUCCUACAUGGGAUUGGAUUGGUGAUGAGGUCAUUUAUUUAGUUUUUAAUUUCUACAAAAGAUGCAUCUUUCCUCCCCACAUUAGUGACACUAAUAUAACACUUAUUCCCAAGAACUUGGUCCCUCAUGUUCCCAGUGAUUAUAGAUCUAGUAGACUUUUUAAUGUUAGUGUGAUUUACAAGAUCAUUGCUAAAUCUCAAUAUAAUAGGCUCAAACCUCAUCUUCCUGAUUAUAUAGAUCCUGCUGAGUAAGAUUUUAUUAAAGGUCGCAUAAUUAGUGAUAACAUCAUCAUUUCUCAAGAGAUCACUCAUACUUUUGUGAUUUGAUCUUUGAAACAUCACGCUCUCAUGCUUAAAAUUGAUCUUGCUAAAGCUUUUGAUCGUAUAGAGUGGAAUUCCAUUAUCUCUGUUGUUGCUCGUAAAGGGUUGCAUGUACAUUUCAUUAAUUUGAUAUAUGCUUGCAUUUCUUCUCCUAAUUUCUUUGUCAUCGUCAUUGAGCAGCCUUCACGUAAAUUCAAAAAGUCAGAGAGGGAUUCGAUAAGGUAUCCCUUUGUCCCCUUAUCUUUUUGUGCUUGCCAUCAAUGAAUUGUCUCUUGCUCUUAAUGAUACCCUGUUUGCUAAUCAUCUUCAUGGUAUUAUUCUUCAGCCAAAUUGUCCUCCUAUCCACUCUCUUCUCUUUGUAGAUAAACUUAUGGUUUGUGGACAAGCCACUUUGCAAGAAGCAACAUUCAUGGUGCAAAUAAUCCAAAAAAUUAUGUUAUGUCAGGUCAGACAUUAAGUCCAAAUAUGAAACUUUAUGCAGUACCCAUGUCAAUCAUGCUAUUAUUGAUGAUAUUAAAUGCAUUUUUCCAGCCCCUAGUAUGGAUAACAAUUUCACUCACUUGGGCCACACACUCAUUCUUCCUGCUAAGAAUAUAGUUUUUUUCUUAAUUAUGUUCUUGAUAAACUUUUAAAAAAACUUCAUACUUAUAAAGCUAAUAUGAUUUCUCAUAUUGAUCGGUUGGAACUCAUUAGAUCUGUUUUCUCUGCCAUUGUUGUAUACUAUACGUCUACCGUCUUGUUCACCAAAAACAUUAUUGCUAAUAUCACUUAUAUUAUGAUAAUUUUUGGUGGACAGGAAGCAGAGAGAACAAUUGAACUUAAAGCAUUUGCCUCGUGGCAUGGAAAGAUAUUUGUACCUCCAAGAAAGAACGGGGGUUGAGCGCGAGAAUUCUUCAAGCCAUUAACGUAGACCUCAUCCUUGUUGCUUCUUGGAUAUUAGCAAUUCUCUCUAAUAACAUUUGUAUCUUGUGCUCAAAUCGAAGUAUUUUUUUGCAUUUGUCUAUUUGGACCAUCGUUUCUACUAUUCCAAAACCUGCUUUUGAUCUUCUUUUCUUAUGAUGCUUCCUAAAUUAAAAGCUCAUUCUUUCUACCAAGUUAAUCAAGGGGCAUCUAUCUUUGUAAUACUCUCUCGUGUUCUCCAUGGGCCACUAUUCACAAUCAUCUCAUUAUCCAACCCCAUGGCUUCAUAUAUCCUCUUAAGGUUAAGGAUCUCUAGCUUCUAUGACAAAAAACUUGGAAUGACACUCUUAUUCACACUCUCUUUCAAGAACCUUUGGCCUUUAUUAUUACUCAAACCUCUAUUAUUAAUGAUAAUAGUCCUCACAUUCUCUGUUUGGAGCCAAAUGGAAAAUGUACUUCAAAAGUCUACUUACAAAUUGUGUUUACAGGAUAUCAAUCCCCAUCCAAGAAAUGCUCCAUGUCAGAUUUGUUUGCAGGUUAAAGACCAUCUCAAGCUAGUUUGGAAGAAGAAAUUGAUGGCAGCCCGAGUCCAAACUUUUGCUCGGAGGUUUUUGCGAAAAUCUCUUCCCACAAGUUUGAGGGUUGGACUUUUCCAGUUCAUGUCUCCAAAUCAUGUUGUCGAUGCGGUAAGGAUGAAAAUAAAAUGCAUCUUUUUUUUUGCAGUUUUAUUUGAGCGGUUUGGUUUGCUCACCCAUGGUAUAUUAAAACUGAUAUUUUUGUUCAAAAUCAAUCCUCUAUGCAAAGUAUUAUUCUUAUCCUGCUUAAUAUGAAUCGUCCCAAUGCAUUUGUUCCUAACAUUCUAAAUUUUAUGUGGUUCUUGUUGAAAGUGAAAAAUCAUUUUCUCUUUGAUAGGCAAACCUAUUCUCCUCAUAAUAUUCAUAUGGCAGAUGCCUGAUAAUGCUUUGACUAACUAGAGUAGUUAUAUAUUGGAUUUCUCUAAUCAAAAGCAGUAUGAUGUUCAAACUAGAUCUCUAGAUGCUAUAAAUGGAAUACCUUCUCAAGGCCAUACUUUGUAGAUUGAUCUUCUUAUUACAUGAGCUAAAGUUUUCUAUGAUGCAACUUUUAAAUGUACAAAAAAUCUGGAUCAUACUCGUGGAGCAACAACUACCGGUAUUAGAGUUUUUCUCAAACUUUUCCAGGAUAAAAAGAAGUGAAUGUGAAGAUUCAAGCCUCUACUCCAAUCACCACCUCGUCUCUUCAAGGAGAGGCUCUUGCCCUUCUCCUUGUUAUCCAGGUCGAUCAUUGACUUAGGAUAUCUCGUCAUACAUUUCUUAUUCAUUGCUUGUAUUUGGCAAAAGAAGCGGCAGAUAUAAACAUUAUGGUUGUUUAUACUCCUUGGACUAUCAGAAAUAUUUUGCCCGAGUUCUUCUCCUAUACACAUGAUCUUCACUCGUAGGUGAUCCAUAUAUCUAAAGAGAUAAACGAUAUAGCUCAUAAUGUUGCUCGCCAGGUUCUCAGGAGAGAUAACCAUAUUAUCAAAGCGGUUAACUCCCUCAAUAAUCUUUACCGAGGAAAGUUAUAGUUCUUUUGUAAACUCAUAUGAAUUUAUACUAAUGCAAUUUCUAAUUUAAGUCCAGCUAUCUUUCAUUUAUUCAUGGCAUAUAUCUUCUAUGGAUCCACUUAUUCCUUUUGUCAGAAUUUGGAUUUAAUAAACUCUUUUUACAACAUAAAUCCUAAGAAAAUAGAUCAAUUAAAAAAAAUAUACAAUUGGUCAUAUAAUCAUGGUUAUACAUAUAUUUUUUAUACUAGGGUCUUUACCCUCAAGAUAAGAGGGCUAACUGAACUAACGGAAUAUUUUUGUAAGGGUGUUAUUGAUGGAAUUACCAUUGGAGUAUGUCUUAUUAGUUUUUGUAUAGGAGAAGAAACUGAGGGCUUAUUAUUCUACAAGAUUUAGAGCACCUUUUCAUUCUUUCAUAUACUUGGGGUUUUUACUUAGAAAAUACAACAUUCCAUACUAAAGGAUUCGGGUCCAUAACCACGAGUUCGAGUGCACUAGAUCUUGUAGCACUUCGCAACGAGGCCCUACCCAUUAGUAUUCCACAUAAUAAAGCCAUUCUAGAAAAAUAAAAAACAAUUAUAUUAGCUCUUCAUAGAUAAACUUGGGGUUUGCGAGCCAAGCUAAGACCAGCUUGGGAUCGUGGGACCUUUUUCUAUUAGAUAGGAGGGCCUCUUGUAUAAAAUAGACUUACUAAGUAAUAACCUCCUAGAACGUAAAAUUUGUUCUUUUGCUUUAGCUCACAGGAAUAUGACAUGCCGCGUAGUUUCUGUUCUCUCUACUUUUAUUUUUAGGACUAUGUUCUUCAUGUUGUAAGAUGCUACUCACCGAUAUUGCAUGUUCUUGGAUUUAGUGUGAUGCCUUGUAGAAGAACACUAAGACUCCAGGAAUAUCACACGUGCGACAUGCAGAAGUUGAAGCUUUUGUUCAUUUGGUGGACUCCACAUCGACUAACAACAUCAUGAUAUAAGUCUACAUACUGCACGGCCUUUUACCUCUUCUGGAUGAAGCUGGAGCUCUCCAGUUUAUGACACCUGUUGCAAAUCUCUUUAAUUUGAGAAAAGUUAUUAUUCACACACACAAUUUGACUUUAGAUGCAUCUUAUCUCCUUCUGAAACAAGAUGGAUGGUUAGCCACAAUCUUCUUCUAUUUUCAGCUACACCAUACAAAUUUCUACACCAAACUUCCACGUAUACUAAAAUAUUUUAGGUGUAGCCUGCUAUGGUGGUCAUUGGGUUCUUACUCACUACUACUGGAUGGUCCAAAGACGACACAUCGAUCACAGACCCUUCGACAAAAAUGUGUGCGAUCCAUCAAUCUCAAAUGGUGUAGUUGCACCUUCAUCGCCAAUAAUGAAAAUUGUGUGCGAUGGCGGAUCCAUCAAAUACAAUUUAGAAAAGAAUUAUGUGUGCGAUACAUGACAUAUAGUUGUUCUUAUGAACUGUUUGCGACUAGCCAAGAUUACACUAACGGUUAACAAAAUACAUAUGUGUGCGAAGUACGACAUAUAGUUCACUCGGAUAAACUUUACUGAUCCAGCAGAACACAAAUGAGUUAGCAUAAGAAGGUGUGUGUGAUACCGGAAAAAUAGUUCAUUCAUCGAAAUUGUGUGGGAAGACCAAUAGUAACCCCAAACAAUUCAUCCUCACAAGUUGUGUGUGUCGUGGACAGGCGGUUGCUGCUACACAAUUGUAUAAGAUGUUAUUUGAUGUGUUUGCAAAACAUCUAUGCUAUGUCUACAAAACACCAACCUUGUUGCUUAACGAACUUGAACAUCCAAUUACAUAAGUGACUACACAACACAUGUACAUCCCUCAAUAUAAAUUUACAAGAAGUAGACGAUCAUCAAAUCGUGUUGUUGUUUUCACGACGGUUUCAGCCACUACUCUGCUUGUGGCUAUCCCCCGGCGUCUGCAUGAAGGAGGCAUUCCCUCAUGUCAACGAUCCUCAUGUACAUCUCGUAGCUUGUGUAUGCGUAUUUGGCCGCGUACUUGAUGUAUUCUUCAUCUAGUUCUUUCACCUAGGCCUUAUGCCAGACAUACUUGUCCUUGUCGCACUCAGCCUUCAUGUCUCUAUUGUAGGGGUCUAUGAUGGCCGCGGCAAGGUCAACCAGGGAAUCAUUCUGCUUCUUCUUCUCGCCGCUCCAAACCCUGUACUGACCUUGGAUGUUGACAAGCUUCUGGCAGGACAUGUCCAAAGUCUUGAGAACCUUUAGAUUGUUGGUGGUGUCCACUGUUGCGAACCUGUAGUGGGGGUUGUUGACAAACCUGGCGAAAAGCUCGCAAGGCCUUGUGCCAGGCAAUAGUGGUAGACGAUCACAUGAUGGCGCAUGCACAAUUGGGAGACGACAAAAUUUUGAUCAUACCUGCACGACCGUUGGUGUAUUCGAGGUUGAAGUCGACCACUUUGUACUUGUCAUCCUCAACAAGAAGUUGCUCCAUAGUGUCCAUGGAGUUCUCAACAACGACCGGGACGUUGGUGUACACUACUAAGAUGUCCGUCUUCCUACUGUGGUGUCGACUUUGACAAUAAUGGCGAACUAUCGCUCAAUGCCGGUAGCCGCCAUAGAAUCCGCGCGGGAAGGUUUAAGCGGUGAAGAGAUGUGCAUCCUUUCUCUGAUUGUCAUCAUGGGUGUGCUUCUUCUGUUGUGUGGCCCGAUAGGAAGGUGAAAGAGAUGAAGGUAAAUGCCCGCCGAAAAAAAUUGGUGGGCGCCGUGUGGCUUGGAAUUUUGGCACGUUCGCAUGACAGUUUUUGCAGCGCUUAACUGCAUGGUGGUGCAUGUAUAACUGCAUGAUGGUGCUUAGUGUAGCACAACGACAUGCAUAUGGCACCCCAAACAUACUUGAUCAUUCAUGCAUGGAGGGAUACCGACAAAGCGCGUGCGCACACAAGCAGAGCGUGUUGCGGCUGCCUCAACCUCCUCAUGCAUAGAGCAGUUCACGACAGUGCGUAUAGGAUGCUCCUUUGUUAUGUAAGAAAACACAGACACUUAUUAUUAUUAUUAUUUGUUUAUGUACUUUUCAUUUCUCCUUCCUCUAUGCCGUCUUAUCACCGCGUUGCCACCCGAUGAUUAGAGUGCAUGUUUGGGGAUCGCGCACGCGUUUCUUUUGGCCUUCCCGUUCCCGCGCAACCAUGCAGGAUCCCAUGCAACCUUCCCGCCGGGCUCACCAAAAUCCCCCAAAUCCCCAAUGCUUGGUCGCAUGCCUUCCUUAUAAACCCUCACGGAUCGCGACUCCACAUCGCAUUCAUCCCCUCCCUGCCUGUAGCUUCUAUAGUUUGCUUCUCCCUCAAACGCCAAUGGCACCUGUUCAUUGUUGUCACUCCGCCACUCCGCCAGAGGAAAACUCUAGCUGGGAGGUUGCACCAUGUUGGUGACAUAGUUCCCGGAAGCAUGUAGUGCACAUAGCGUCCUUGUUGGCAUGCACACGCCACCCAUCACACGCUCCGCCACCUUUGCCCAAAGGCAGCUGUUGCCUACGACCGCCAUGGCUGACACCCCAUUUUCGCCAACCGUUGUCGCCACCCCACUGGUGGUAGACUUGGCCGCCACCACACCAUCAUCUUCCUUGGCCACCACCCCAUCGUCAGCCAUCGGGGCCAUCACCCGCUCCGCCACCAUGGCCAGAAGGUGGAAGGAGGAGGACCCCUCCAAAGCCUAGCUGCUCCGUUUUGCGUCAGCGGCCUUGUACACUACAUCAACUUCCUACAUGAGAAGGAGGAGCACUAGGUCAAGCACGCAAAGAGGCUCACCGUCGUCGUGGUCGUAGCAGACAUCGCAGCUGUGGCGUGGAAUGAGGAGAUCUAUGUCGAGUCCUGCCACUUCGUGGAGGUGCACUAGGAGCGUCUGAGGGCAGUGGCGGCAUGCGAUGAAGUCGACUCCUCCAGCUCGUUGGUAGGCUCCUCCUCCUCUUCCUCUUAUUGAAUGCGCUCGGUAGAGGAGAGUAUAUUGGAAGGAAGUAGUACAAAGCCCCUCCGUAGUAGUAUUUCGGGGCUAUUUUGUUCAGUUCAUCUAACUAUAUAUAUGGUUGAACUGUACCACGUACUUUCAAUUAGCUAGUAUAUAUAGUUGAACUAGCUGUUUCAGUAUGUGGUUGUCAACAACUGGGAAAAUGUUUGUUCGGUGUAGCUAUUGAGUUGAACUAUUUUUACAAAGAUCACUCCUUAAUCUUUGAAUGAAAUCCAAGUUUACUAAAUUUCAGUUGCAAAAUUGUAUCGUAAUAGUGAUUUUGUUCCUGCAAAAUUUGAUAAAUGUAGUGUUAUAAUGAUGUUAAAUGUUAGUGUUACUAGAUCAACAAAUGCCAAUGUUUCCAAUUUGACAAAUGGAAAUUUACCCAAUAUGACAUAUGCAAAUCUAAACUCAUUGUAUGCACUAAGCACACGGGUCAUCAUACACAAAUGUUUGUGAUGACACAAUUAAAAAAAUAUGUCGUGUUAGAUUUUGAUGUGGCUUAGUUGCGAAGGAACCAAUGCCCUGUGUCUACAUACGGGUAUUCAAUCUGACAUGCUUGCAAUGACGGUCAUAGGACACGCAUCCCUGAUGAGCGCGUGUAGGACUGCUCGCACGCCUCUUAUCUACUCAAACACAUGUCCGCAUGCUACCUCAUAGCCAAUACAUAGUGGGACGUGUGGCAGCGCGUAAAUGAUUAAUAGAAUGUCCAUGGUUUAUAAAUAAUACACCCGUUUGUGAUGGUAAUCUUUUUGUUCCAAAAUGUCAUUGUUGCCUAUUAAUGUGUGUGCUUUUUCUCAAUCUGGACACGAAAAAUACCAUGACAUAUGUGUGCUAUAUGAUGAGGCCCUACCUAACAUAGACGUUGUGAGUGUAGUUCAAAUUUCAAUCAUGUACAUUAAAUGCACAGAAAACUCAAUUAGUGUAUAAAAAAGCCAAACGAACCCUAAAUAAUUUCAUAUUUUUGUAGUACGCAUCUAUUGGUCUAUGUUGUUUCUAGAAAAACAAAUAAGGAGGGAAGGUGCAUCGGAUGUUGUUUCACCCGUAAAUGUGACAUGCAUGUUCCCUAUCGGAACCACGUAGCUUGUUGUGAUAAGCUCCGGUUUCUAAGUGUCUUGUGCCAAUACUUGCCCAAGUUUGAUUUCUUACCAUGGCAUAUGUGUGCCGUGUCAUGACACCAUGCCAAGUUUCAUGAAUUUCUGACAAGUUUUGGAUUUACGAGAAUUUUAAAACCAAGUUUCUCAACGCUUGUGAAAGCACAAUUCCUCCCUAAGGUGGUUUUGAUAAUUGAUCACAACAUAUGUAUCAUUGGACUAAUGAAUUUAUUCAAGUAUAUUUCAGAAAAGUUCAAAGUUGCCUUCGCUAUAGGAUUGAGAGGAGAAGCCCCUUGAUGCAAGGAAGGAAUAGGAUUGGGUCAAGCUUCAAGCAAGACGACUCUUCAUUUUACAUUUGUGAGAAAUCACUUUGAGUCCAUAGGAAAGCGAAUACUAUUAAAAGGGGGUGAGGUAUUAUGAUGAAUUGGCUACUUAAGUGCUUAGAGGUAGUCACCAAAAAUACUCAGCAAAUCUCUCACGAGAUAUCUGUGUCCAAAUCCAAACCAGCAAAAUCGGUGCCACCAACUAUUUCCAUUCGGUCCUACCGAUAUUACACUUGACAGAUCCUAUGCCAAACCCUACCAUCUCGGUACCACCAACUUUCACAUAGGUGCCGCCAAGAUUCAGUGACCAAUUUCCUAUUGAGAAGAUUACAAGAAUCGGAAUUUCCGAGUUUGAAAUCGAUCUCACCGAGAUUUGGAAACUGGUCUAGGUCAUUGUAUCGAUACCACCGCGAUUCCUACAUCGGUCUCAUCGAGUUUGAAAGUUGCCACAUUUAGUGCAACUCGGUACCACAGAGAUUCAUUUCGAUGUCACCGUGUUGGGAACUAAUGUCGUAACGGUUGGAUUUUGGGGAUGCCUAUAUAUACCUCUCCACCUACCUCUCAUUCGAAGAGGAAGCACUCAAAACACACUUACACUUUCCAGAUCCAUUUUUCUGAUAGAGAGCCACCUACUCAUGUGUUGAGAUCAAGAGAUUCCAUUCCAACCAUUUGAACCUUGAUUUCUAGCCUCCCCAAGUUUCUUUCCACAAGAUCAAUCUCUCCUACCCCUGCCAAAUUGGAGAGAGAGUGACUGAGUGUUGAGGAGACUAUCUUUAGGAGCGCAAGAGCAAGGAGUUCAUCGUUCUACCACAUCUAUUACCUUUUGCAGGGUGGUGCCUCCUAGAUUGGUUAGGUGUCGCUUGGGAGCCUCCUAGUGCAUGUUGUGGAGUUGAACCAAGAUGUUUGUAAGGACAUGGAUAUCGCCUACUUCGUGAGGAUCUAUUGUGAGUGAGGCUAGUCCUGUGUGGACCGAAGCCCCAGUGGAAAAGACAAGGCCACUUCUUUGUAGAACCCUUGUGGGUGGAACCCUCAGUGGACUCUCACGACUGUUACCCUCCGUGGGUUGAAGUCUCCACUAACAUGGACGUACGAUAGCACCACCUAUCAGAACUAUACCAAAAAUCAUUGUGUCAACCUUUGUGUUUGAUCUCCCUACCGUACCCUCUACUUAACAUUUGCAUGUCUUACUUUCCACUGCUAUACUCUUAUAUGUGCAUGUAUGGGGUGAACUUGACUAGUCAUAAUUGCUAAAACUGGCCCACGACUAAAUUUGGAAAAGGCUAAGUUUUUAUCUUGUCAAGUAGUCUAAUCACCCCUAGACAUACUUUCGAUCCUACAAGUUGUCACGCCCAAGAUGCGACCCUAUCCUCAAUUUGGCACGAGGGCCUCGUCAGGGAUAGAAGCGCAUCGCGUCGUGUCGCAAGAAUGGAUAUCGUUACAAGUACAUGUACUGAAAAGAUGAGAUAUAUAUAAAGAGUUGGCUUACACUCGCCACAAGCUACAUCAGAGUCACAUCAGUACAUUACAUAAUCAUCAAGAGUAAGAGCAGGGUCCGACUACGGACGAAAACAAACGACAAAAGAAGAACGACGUCCAUCCUUGCUAUCCCAGGCUGCCGGCCUGGAACCCAUCCUAGAUCGAAGAAGAAGAAGAAGAAGAGGCAACUCCAAAUGAACAACCAACGCGCUCGCGUCAAAUAACCUUUACCUGUACCUGCAACUGGUGUUGUAGUAAUCUGUGAGCCACAGGGGACUCAGCAAUCUCAUUUCCAAAGGUAUCAAGACUAGCAAAGCUUAAUGGGUGAGGUAUGGUUAAGUGGUGAGGUUGCAACAGCGACUAAGCAUAUAUUUGGUGGCUAACUUACGAGUACCAGAAAUAAGAGGGGGAAGAUCUACGCAAAACGGACGUGUCUACUGAUGAUCAUAAGAAUGAUCCUGAACACCUACCUACGUCAGACAUAACCCCACCGUGUCCUCGAUCGGAGAAGGAACUCACGAAAGAGACAGUCACGGAUACGCACACAGUUGGCAAGUUUUAAUUAAGUUAACUUCAAGUUAUCUAGAACCAGGGUUAAACAAAGCUUCCACGUUGCCACAUAACCGCGGGCACGGCUUUCCGAAAGAUUUAACCCUGCAGGGGUGCUCCAACUAGUCCAUCACAAAUUACCACAAGCCGCAUAGAAAUCCUCAAUCACGAAGCUCGCGACCUCGUCGGAUUCCCUAGUGGAAAACCUCAACUCUGAGAUUACCCAAAGCAUCACCGGAAUCCCGAUGCACAAGAUAUCUCGUCAAAGGUAAAACUAAUCCAGCAAGGCCGCCCGACGUGUUAACGAUCCCGAUAGGAGUCGCGUACCUCGUUCUCAGGACAUGGCGGAUGAGCUAGACGUCGGGAUCGCUAAACCUCCGGGUGACCAGAGGGGCGCCGGACAUCGCUCAGGUGGGGCCAACACUCAUGAGGAGCACUGGCCUGGGGGUUGAUUAAAUUAUCCUCGGGGUCCGGAAAGUCCCUAUGCAAUUUUAUUAGGUGUUUAGGCAGAUGUAGUACCAAUGUUGGGCCUUGCCAGACCAGCUUUAAUCUAAAACGAAUUAUCAAGGGGGUCCCCAUAACAACCCCGAUUGUGUUAGGAGCGCUCAUUUAUGGAACAUAACACCGGUAGCCGAAACUAAGGGGGCAAAGGUGGAACAAAACACCAGGCUAGAAAGGCCGAGCCUUCCACGUUUUACCAAGUAUAUAGGUGCAUUAAAUUAAAUAGCAAUUAAUAUGGUGAUAUAACAAGGAACCCAUGCUUUCGCAUGGAAGCAUCUGCACCUGCAACUAGCAACGCUAACACAGGGUUAAGCAAGCGGUAACAUAGCCAAUCAGUGGUUUGCUAGGUCGAACAGGUUGAAGGUAAUCAUGGCAUUGUUGAGAGGCUGAUAUGUAACAGGUGGUAGGCAACGAGACAUAAUCGAUAGAAGCGAUUAUAUUAGCAUGGCAAUGAUAGUAAUGGUAUCUGGGGAAAUGAUCAUCUUGCCUGAGAUCCCGCUUGGAAGAAGAACGACUCCGUGAAGCAGACGAACCGACGUAGUCGAACGGGUCCUCACAAUCCGGCACGCGUGCGGAGCUCUAUCGAGGCGAAGCAAACCGGAAACACAAAUCAUCACACAGAAUUCACCACACGAUGCACAACACAUACGAUGCAUGAGCUACUGAAUACAUGCAAGUCACGGCAUGGCAAAUCACACAAUCAAACACUACACAUUAAGUGAAGUUCAAUAUGCACGAGUUGCAUAUUGACGAAACUCCACAUUAAUUAUUUAGUUCACUCCCGGUUAUCUACACGGCAAUAUUAAUGUUUUCAAACAUGCAAGAGGUGAAGCGGAAAUUAAACUACCUAUCUAGACAUUUUAAAUGAGGUCGGAAAUGACAUAUAGCACCUCCGAAACGACCUCACAUGUUAAUUUACAAUUCUGUCCAGAUCUGAAUUAACACCUUUAAUUAAUUGUUAAACAGCAAAACAAAUAGGUUCACGUGAUUCUACGCGUCAAGGCAAGCAAUCUACACAUAAGAACAUCUCCAACGGAGCUACGGUUUGAAAACUACAAGCAAAACAAGAAAACACUACAAGCUGCCAAAUCAUCCACAUAGCAUCUUCUACGCCCCACAACUAUGGCUACACAACUCCGAUUUGCUCAAGCCAGGCAUGGCACGAAGAGGGCAAGAAGCACUACUACAAACUACUAACAACAUCUAACAUGGCAGCAAGGAGCACUAGAAAAAGAAGACACAAAAUGGCAUCUCACGCACUAUUUCAGACUUAGUGAAAAUAACACCUCCUGAAAGUGCAUUUUUCAGCCUGAAGCUAUAUUGACAGCAGCAAAACCCUAAGCUACAGGUCUGCAAAUGACAUGAAACUUAACAUCAUGCUAGAGAAACAUAAGGGGAACAACUAACUCCAUUGGACCAACCUCAAAAGAGCUACAGAUCACAAGAUGCAAGCAAGACAAGACAACAACAAAAUAUAAAAGAUUCCAAACCUAGAAAUAUUUCAGCUCCUCCAAAUCAGCACUAUUUCUAGCAACUUGAGGGCAAUCAAACAACACCUAAACAUGCAUUUCUAUUGCAACCAAAAAUACCAGGAGCUAGACAAAACAUCUGAGAUCAACUCUCUAGUUGACAACUCCGUCAAACGACGCACGGAUUAAAUCCUACGAAUUAAACAAAAGGGCAUCACGGCAAAAUAUCUCGCGAACUAACUUCCUCAAAAGCUAAAACUAAUUGCACAGAAAAAUCCAUGGGAUUUUUCUACCCCGGAAGCAUAUCAAAUAUGUGGGGUUUGCAACACAAAAUAAUGCCACACAUUAAUGCGCGAUAUACCUCUAAACGCGGGAAAAUAAAUUACCGGCAAAUCCUACGCGCAAAAAUACGCGUGGCCACUCUAAAAUACAUGGCAAAUAAGUCCCUAAAACAUGGGCAUUUCUUCUACGGCAUACGAACAACCCGGACACGCGCGAAAAAAAUAACUACGCGCGAUAAACCUACCGAGACAACACAUAACACCAGGCAUUAGGCACGCUAAACCACAUCCAACAAAUGUGCAAGUUUCAAAUUCGGAUACUACGUGAAAUUCUACCCCGAAAACAUAUAUAAAACGCUCCGAUCCGAUAUACGGGUAUAAAUCUACGGACGUUUAAAAAUCUAACGUAUAUCUGGAAUUUAUUAUAACUCCGAAAAACCUACUAAUCUAUUGGGCCGAAACCUCAGGCGCACUAUAGCAGAAAAGACGCACUGAGCGGGGAAUAAGCUCAUCGAGUGGGCUCGGCCCAUGCAGGCUGGGGCGGAGGUGGCCUGGGGACGAAGGCCGGUCGGGCCUCGGGGCAUUGAGGCCGAGCUGGGCCGCUGGGCCGGGGAAGAUGCGGGCCUGGCUCCUGGCCAUCGGGGCCGCGGGAGGAGGCCGGCCCACAGGGGCGAGCUGGCCCGCGGGGAGGCCGACAGACGAGGGCGUCGUGCUCCUCGCGAUGGUUCCCCUCAGGACGAGCCAGGGGCAGCGGCUGCUGGCUGCCGGCACCAGGGGCGGUGGAGGCGCGCGCUGCAGGCAGCCGGGGGCGUCGAGGGAGGCGCGCUCCGGCGGGAUGUGGCAUCGGAGGCCGGCGAGCGGCAAGAUCUGGUGCGGCGGGGUCGGCCGACGUUCGGGCGCGCGGCUUGACGACGGUGCUCCGGCGAGGACGGGCGCAGGCGGCGGGGACGCUGGGACGGCAGGAUCUGCGGCGGCCUCCGGCGGCAGGGCACGAGUUCUGCGGCGAACGACGGCUCGGGCGAGCCCCGGCGGCGGGGAGGCUCGGACUGCUGCCCUCGGGCAUGGGCGAGGUGGAGCGCUGCGGGCGGCGGCGGCGGCUCGGGCUCGGGCGGGCCUGCGAUGGGCUUCGCGGGCCCGGCGGCGCUGGCAGGGGGAGAGAGGGGGGGCGGGGCGGCUAGGGGUANNNNNNNNNNNNNNNNNNNNNNNNNNNNNNNNNNNNNNNNNNNNNNNNNNNNNNNNNNNNNNNNNNNNNNNNNNNNNNNNAGAGAGAGGUGGGGCGGCGCGGCUAGGGUUAGGGUUAGGGCGCGGAUCCCGAGGAGGAUUAGGGGGGCGCCCAAAAUAGGCAGGGAGGGGUGCUUAAAUAGGGAAAGGGGCUAGCGUGCAGGGUAUCUGGGGGUUUUUCGACCCUCCGGUCGCGUUCGUGCGGUCCGAUCAGAGAGGCGGGGUGGGGGUUGGUGUUCGACCCUCCGGUCGCGUUCGUGCGGUCCGAUCAGAGAGGCGGGUUGGGGUUAGGUGUGUAGAGUGGCGUUGGUUAAGAUGAGAGGGAAGUGGUGCGGCGCGGCAUCGACUUUUAAAACACCGACAGACAUCCGACGAAUAACCGAAGACGGUGCCGCUACGGUCGACCGUUCGGGUACCAUACGGUCUCCAAUCGCGACGAAAUUCGACAGGCGGCCUAGCUAUAUCUAAUCUCGACCGUGUGCCAAGUUUCACCUCAAUCAGAGAAAGUUUUAAACGCACUUUAAAACAGGGUUUCGACGGUGCCACGGGCGCGUGCGAGUGCGGUCGGGCUCAGAAUGGGCAACGACGAGAACCGGCAACUAACAGCGUAAGCAAGUUUUGAAAACUGGCGGCAACGGGAUGCCGAUGCAAUGCAGAUGAUGCGCAUGAUGCGAUGAUGACGCGGCAACUGAAAAUACCCACACGACGAAAACGGAAAGAAAAGGGGAAGCUUCUGGAACAUCGGCAUCGGGCUGUCACACAAGUGGUAUCAGAGCUUUGGUCUCCAUUGCAUUGGUUUCAUAACCUAGGAGACUAUGGCGUCUAGUGAGGGAAGUUAUCACCGUAGAGGUCCAUAUUUCUAUGGCACUAAUUUAUCUAGUUAGAAGCAUAAGAUGAAAAUGCAUAUUCUUGGUCAUAAUCCUGCCGUUUGGGUUGUUGUUCAUGUUGGUAUGCAAGGUGAUUUCUUCAAAGAAGGAAAAGAACCGGAUCGUGAUGCGACAACGGAUGAGCUGAAGAUGUUGCAAUACAAUGCUCAAGCCCGUGAUAUCCUGUUCAACUACUUGUGUCCCAAAGAAUUCAACAAAAUCAGCCGCCUUGAGAAUGCAAAGGAAAUUUGGGAUAAUUGGAUUGAUAUGCACUAAGGUAUUGAUUCUGUUAGGGAAUCUAAGUUGGAUGUGCUUUAGAGUUUGCUUGACAAGUUCAGGAUGAAGGAUGGUGAAGGAGUUGCUGAUACAUAUUCUAGGCUAGCUCUCAUCACAAAUGAGAUUGUCGGCUUAGGAAGCGAAGAGAUGACCGAUAAAUUCAUCAUGAAGAAGAUACUUAGAACCUUGGAUGGAAGAUACGACACCGUGUGCACAUUAAUCCAAAUGAUGCUAGACUAAAAAGAUCUCAAGCCAACUGAAGUCAUUGGAAGGAUUGUUGCUCAUGAAAUUUCACUCAAGGACAAAGAUAAGUUGAACAACAAGUCAAGCGGUGCUUACAAAGCUUCAAGUGACACUCCCGCUAAUUCAGUUUACAACCUUGUUACCAAUAAAGAGAUCAGCCUCAUGGUCAAAAAAUUCGACAAGUUCUACAAGAGUAGAGGCAAAGAGAGAAGCUCAAGCUCAAGAUAUGAUGAGAAGCCUUCGUCUAGUCAUGACCAAAACUGCUACAACUGUGGAUAGCCUGGACACUAUUCCAAUGAGUGAUCUGCUCCCCACAAGCGAAGAGAAGAGUCGCCUAGAAGACAAAGCUCAACAUAUGAGUCACCUCACAGAGAGAGAAGGACUAGAGAAGAUCAUUAUGAAUGAAGACACUCCAGGCAAAUAAUCGGAGAAGAAGGAUAAGUACACCAAGAUAAUCUCAAGAAGAAGACAUCAAGCUCACGUUGGUGAAUGGGUUUGCGGCUCCGAGCUUGACAACCAAUCUGAGAGAAGUUAUCACUCCAACUCCGACUAUAGUCAAGAUGAGGGUGUUGCCAGUCUUGCACUCGUUUCCUCCAACUCCCACGACUUAUUUGAUUCACCAAAUAAAGGGAUUGGAAACUGCUGCAUGACAAAAGGCUCCAAGGUAUCACACCCCAAGUACUUUGACUUUGAUAGUGAUGAGGAUGACUUGUUAGGGGAAGAUGACUUGCUCUUUGAUAAGACUAGUGAUAACAUUGAAAAUGAUGUUGAAAAUAAGCAUGCUAGUCAAGAGUAAUCGAAUGAUGAUGAUAAUAAAGAGAUUGAACGACUAACUGAAGAGUUAAGUACUCUUAAGUUAUCUCAUGAAACUACUCUAGAAGAUCAUAGAGAGCUUGGAAGAACUCAUGAGAAGCUACGCUACGAGAAGCUAAAUUUAGAGCAAGAGCAUGAGUUCCUAAAAGUAAUCAAUGAUGAUCUUCGAAAGAAGAGUUCUUCUUAUCUAGCCAAACAAUUACUCUUGUCUACUUUUGUUCCACAAGUUAAACCUAAGAACACUAGUAAGAAAGGCAAGAAAGUUUCUUCAUCUAGUAACAACAAUGCUAAAGCUAGAUCAAAUGAUGUUGUUUCUAGUAGCUCUCUUGAUUCCACUAAUGAUUCUCUUAGCCAAGUUACACUUGAGCAAGAAAAUGAUUUAUUGAAAGGGAUUAUAGAGAGAGGUGUCUUCAAGAGUCUUGCCGGAAGUAAGCAAUUCGAAGAAAUUGUGCACAAGAAAGGAGGACAUCGGAAGAAGGAAGGUGUUGGCUACUUCAAUGUCAAUGGAUAUGUUUGGGAAGAAAGUCCAUAACACAUUCCCAAGUUUGUUCCUCAAGAGGAGAAGUAUGAUCCUACUCAUCCCAAGGUAACAAGCUCUCAAGAUGGCAUUCUACCACAAGACCACAAGGGCAAGCGAAAGCUUCAAGAGGAUAUUAACUUAUUUGAGGAAGAACCUAAAGCCAAGGUCGAGUGGGUUCCCAAGGACACUUCUUGUACUACCUCAUCUAGUGCUACCACAACUCCAAGGAUCCCCAUCAAGGUGAUGUGUGUCCCCAAGAGGAAGAACUAGAAAGUUCUUGAGGGGUGACUCCACCAAUGAAAUUCACUCUUAUUCAUUUGGCAAGAAAUAUACGCAAUCAACUCCAACCAUAUGCAUUAGUUCAAGGGGCCACACAUUCCCUCAAAGGUGAGCAAGGGACAAGGUAAUUAAUGCAUCUUUGGACAUCACCUCCCAUGUAUUUCACUCAAUGUCCAUAGAUAUCUUUGCAUUUGUUCCUUUUGCUUUGGGACUAACCCAUGUAGGUGAGAAGGGUAGGAAUUAACUAGGAUUUCCCACAAGUAAAAGAUGAUCUUCAUCAACAAUGAGCAUCCACCACUACUACACCUACUUGAAGUCUUCCACGACAAAACCCAAGGUUAGUUUAUCCCACUUAGGGGGGAUGUCACAUCUAGGGGGGCUUUACUCUAAGACUUGAGUAUAAGCGUGUCCUAAAUGAUAUGAACACAUUAAUGCAUUAUGUAAAAGUGGUAACUCCACUUGUGCUUAAUCGAUGAGUAUGACCUAUGAUCAAGUAUUCUUAUUUGGCUCCUAAGUCAAUAUAAUCAUAUAUAGAUGACUUCGUCAUCGCCAAAGUGCUUGAUAGAUGCUAGAAUGUUUGUGCAUGUUCACCAUAUUUAUUUGACAUCUUAUUGUGUGAGCAUGUUGGUAUGCAUAUUUUUCUCAUUCGAGGAUAUCCAGUUGUUAUUAUUUGGCUUUCUAUUUUAUUUGGCCAAUUGGAUAUACAAGAAUGCCUAAGUACCUUUCUCUAGCUAUAUAUGCUUUCUCGUCUCAAAUUCUAUUCAUGCUUCAUCACAAAAUUUGAGCAAGCUCUUUAGGGACACUCUCCGUGAGGAGCACUCGGAGAUCCUCUCGACAAGGGCUGAAUUCCAAAACCUCCCAAAGUGCAUCUCGGUGUGAACAACCUCAAAAUCUCGGUCCCACCGAAGCCGAGGGUUGAUCAAGUUUUAUCAUCUUGGUGCAACCGAGUUUUGCUUUUCGGCCUUACCGAGUUUCACUGUCAGCGGACAGUUGUGUAACUUGUUGGCACCGAAAAUCUCAUCUCGGUGUCACCGACAACAAGGAGAUAUAUAUAUCUAUGGAAUACGACAAUUGAAAAUCACUUCAAACGUCGAACAACCGCACCUCCUCGUUGCCGCGCCCUAGUCCUCUCGACAUCUUCUUGAUCCUCCCAUGCACCCUCGCCACUGGAGUCCUGGCCGCCGACGGGAUAUUCACCGUCAUAGCCGCCAUAGCGAAUCCUCACUGAGUUAGGGUACGGAUUCGAUUCCUUUGGCGCUUCAAAUCUGAUUCUUGCACAAAUAGGUCCUACCAUUAUCUAUCGACUAUUGCACUGGUUCUACCCAACAGAAAAUUCCCUUAGAUUAACGAGCAAAUAAAUUUUUAGGGUUAACAGUCCGCCAAAUUGAAUCUCAGUGUCACCGAGUUGCAAAAGUCGGUCUUACCAAUUUUGGUUUUAGGGUUACUGAUAAUGUUCUCUGNNNNNNNNNNNNNNNNNNNNNNNNNNNNNNNNNNNNNNNNNNNNNNNNNNNNNNNNNNNNNNUGAACCGAGUUCUCCUUUCCGGUGAAUCCAAAAAGGGUGCCAAGUUUCUGUUAAUGAGAACAUCUCUCUAAUUGGCUCAAAAAUUUCCGACUCGGUGGAACUGAAAUCCUCUUUUCCUGAAUGUUAAAACUAACCUUUUCAAAGUUCAAAUUUGACAAAACUUCUACAUUUUUUGGUGCUUAUCCAUUCGAACUCUUCGAUAUCGUUUCAUAGGGUCUACUUGUGUGCUUGUGUGCCAGUCUGCUUGUGUGCUUGUUCUUGUUAGAAUGUCAAGUUCAGAGGAUAGUCAAAACAACUUCUGUGAGCCUAGUUGUGAAAUGGACUCAUGCACUAGUCCUGAGAGGACACCUUCUGACCCAAGUACUCCUAAGUCCCAUGGCAUGCUCAAGGCAACUACUAGGUCCAGAAGGAAGAUCAAUUCUGAUGAAGAAGAUGAUGACUUCAUCCGUGAAGAACCUGCUCCCUAGAAGCAGAAGGAGAAGACCACAAUCAGGAAGACCGUGAUGAAGGAGUAUGGUAGACCUUCUUACACUAGAGCUCCUGAAGCUAGGUUUGCAAAAAAGCUAGGUCAAAAGAGAGUAAGAAAGAGAACUAUCCAUGUUGUUGGGAGGCCAACCUCAAUGUAUGAAGAUCCAGCAGAAGCUGCUGAUGAUGAGGAGGAAGAAAUUCCUAAUGAGGUUCCUCCUCCCAAGAAGAAAUACUUGAUGGCUGAUGGUAUGCCUAAGAAGUCGGCCCCAAAGCCUUCAGCACCUAAGGCUAAGAAGUCUGUAGCUCCCAAGAGGACUACAAAGGAUAUUCCUGCAGCUGAGAAAAACAAAGGAUAUACGUCCAGAGAAUUUGCUACAUAAAAAGAUGAGGAUGCCCAUGUGCUUAUGAAGCUGAGACCUCAUUUGCCAUCCCACAAUGAAGCUCAUCCAGCUUCUAAACACAUGAAGAAGAGAAGGGAUGCAGGUUUGAGGAAGUGGAGAUCUAUUGAUCCAUAUGCUGUGAGAAGGAGAACUCUGUUGAUCCACGCUUUCACACAAAAGAGCAACUUGAUUUCUAUGAGACUGUUUGCUUGAUAAGAGUCCUGUAGUCAGCGACAUGAGAUAUGUCGAUUGGGAAUACAUCAAAGCCAAUGAAGAAUAUUUUCCCCAUUUGAGAGAAAAUUUCAGGAUGGUUGAUAUCAAAGAUUUGUUGGUAAAGAGAUGACUCCAUGGAAUGAUGAGAUGAUCAUGCAAUUCUAUUUCACCGCCGACUUCUGUUCUCAUGGAAGAAUUGUUUGGAUGAGUGAGGGUCACCAUUAUGAAUCCACAGUUGACGAAUGGGCCACUAUAAUUGGUGCUCCUAAAGCAUAAGACAUAUAAUUGGAUGUGUAUUCACAGCUCAAGAUGAAUCACAACUCCAUGGCCAACAUGUACAAGUCAGUGCCCCAUGAGUUUUUGCCGUCACACAAAUUUGGCUCUGGCUACCUUUGCAAGCAGGAAUACCCACUACGAACACUAUCAUGAGAUAUACCUUGAUGUCCAAAUCAGGAGAUGACAAGAUGAUUAGAGGUUAUUCCAUCAACAUGCAACAUCAUCUUGACACCCACACCUGGUUCCGAGUGAUGGACUUGAUAGUUGAGACUGUCAAGAGGACAACUACAUAUCAGAAGAGAUCUUGUGGAUAUGCUCCAUACAUUUAGAUCCUCGUCAAUGCUAAGAUUGGCAAGCAUGCAUAUCUACUUAAUCGUCCCCACCUGCCACUUCAGCCUGAUUUCAAAGACAAUGAUGCUGUGAUGGUUGAUAGCCAUCCCAACUCAGCUACUACUCGAGAGGCAGCAGAUGUGGAGGCUCCUACGAAUGCUCCAACUCCAACCCCACAGCUCAGAACCAGAGAUGAGCAGAUGUCAUUCUUGGUCAGCACUAUCCAAGGGAUGGAAAAGAAAGUUUCUGAGAUUUUGUUUAACCAUAAGAGCUUCGAGAGGAUCGUGGAGACAAAAUUCCAUGACCUGGAUGUUAAGGUGACAGAGUUUACCACCACUAUUGAGCAGCACUAGCAUGAAGUUGAUUCUGUGAAGAGUCCACGCUCCAGCAGUGAUGAUGAAGAGUCGCCCCUUCCUACUACUACUUAGUUCAGGACCGAUACUAGUUCAACAGUUGUGCCAGUUCUGGAAGCAAGGCCAUCUUCAUCAGCUCAAGCUUCAGCUCCUGCUCCUACACACCCAUUGUCUACACCUCCAGCUCCAGUGACUUAUGGAGAAGCCUUCGUCGAUGCUCUUUUGUCCACUCCAUCAUCACCUUCCGGAGGAGAUCAUGCUCACAAAGAUGCUUAGUUCUAGACCUUUGAACUUGUUAGUAACUUUUUGCCAAAGGGGGAGAAGUGUAUAGAUCAAAUAAGGCUUCAAGAGGGAGAGCUUUGCACUUUAUUCGCUCUCAUUUGGUUUUUCAAACUUUUGGUCUUUUGGAUGACUUUAUCCGUUUAGAGGUGUGUUUGAUCAUAUUUGAUUGUCUGAUGCUACCACGUUAUUACCUUUGAGCUAUCUACAUGAUGAUCAUUCACUUGCUUGUUUGGUGUUAUGUGCAUUACUAUUCAUUCAUAUCAUUUAUCCGCACCACAAAGUUGUAUUAAACAUGGAAGAGUAACCCAUGAUCCUAAUCGAUUGUGCAUUUGCAUUCAAACACACAUCAUAAAUAAUGCACAUAUUUAGGGGGAGCUCUUGCUUUUCACAUACUUCUCAAAGCGUUGAUGCUAAUCAUUGAUUAUAUACUUUGUCGAAGCUUUGAUUUGUAUGUUGUCAUCAAUUACCAAAAAGGGGGAGAUUGAAAGCACAAUUGCUCUCUAAGGUGGUUUUGAUAAUUGAUCACAACAUAUGCAUCAUUGGACUAAUGAGUUUAUUCAAGUAUAUUUCAGAAAAGUUCAAAGUUGCCUUGGCUAUUGGAUUGUGAGGAGCAGCUCCUUGAUGCAAAAAGGAAUACGAUUGGCUCAAGUUUCAAGCAAGAAGACUCUUCAUUUUACAUUUCUGAGAAAUCCCUUUGAGUCCAUAGGAAAGCCAAUACUAUUAAAAGGGAGUGAGGUAUUAUGAUGAAUUGGUUGCCUAAGUGCUUAGAGGUAGCCACCAAAAAUAAUCAGCCAUUCUCCCAUAAGAUAUAUCUGUCCAAAGCCAAACCAGCAAAAUUGAUGCCGCCAACUAAUUCCAUUCGGUCCUACCGAUUUUACACUUGACAGAUCCUAUGCCAAACCCUACCAUCUCGGUACCACCAACUUUCACAUUGGUGCCAUCGAUAUUCAGUGGCCAACUUUCUGUUGAGAAGAUCUCAAGAAUCGGAAUUUCUGAGUUUGAAAUCGGUCUCACCGAGAUUUGGAUACUGGUCUAGGUCAUCGUAUCGGUACCACAAAGAUCUCUAUAUCGGUCACACCGAGAAUUCAAAAGUCGCCACAUUUAGUGCAACUCGGUACCACCGAGAUUCAUUUCGGUGUCACCUAGUUGGGCAAUAAUGUAACAGUUGGAUUUUGAAGAUACCUAUAUAUACCCCUCCACCCACCUCUCAUUUGUAGAGCAAGCACUCAGAACACACUUACACUUGCUAGAUCCAUUUUUCUGAGGGAGAGCCACCUACUCUUGUGUUGAGAUAAAGAGAUUCCUUUACAACCAUUCGAACCUUGAUAUCUAGCCUCCCCAAGUUUCUUUCCACAAGAUCAAUCUCUCCUACCCCUGCCAAAUCAGAGAGAGAGUGAUUGAGUGUUGAGGAGACUAUCUUUAGAAGCACAAGAGGAAGGAGUUCAUCAUUCUACCGCAUCUAUUACCUUUUGGAGGGUGGUGCCUCCUAGAUUGGUUAGGUGUCGCUUGGGAGCCUCCUAUACUUCGUGGUGUGGAGUUGAACCAAGAUGUUUGUAAAGUCAAGGAGAUCGCCUACUUCAUGAAGAUCUACCAUGAUUGAGGCUAGUCCUGUGUGGACAGAAGCCGUGGUGGAAUAGACAAGGCCGCUUCUUUAUGGACCCCUUGUGGGUGGAGCCCUGUGUGGACUCUUGCAGCCAUUACCCUCCGUGGGUUGAAGUCUCCACUAACAUUGACGUAUGAUAGCGCCACCUACCGGAACCAUGCCAAAAAUCAUUGUGUCAACCUUUGCGUUUGAUCUCCUUACCUUACCCUCUACUUUAUACUUGCAUGUCUUACUUUCCGCUGCUAUACUCUUAGAUGUGUAUGUAUACGGUGAACUUGGCUAGUCAUAAUUGCUAAAACUGGCCCACAACUAAAAUUGGGAAAGUCUAACUUUUUAUCUUCUCAAGUAGUCUAAUCACCCCCCCUUUAGACACACUUUUGAUCCUACACCUUGCAGCCAAGCUAGGACACUGAUAUGUUGGAAAUUCAUUCCCAUUUUCUUGCAUGGGACCUAAACAUGCAUCCACGGACACAUAUAUGAUUUUCAACCCAUUUUGGUGCACUGUACCUUGUGAUUGUAGAUGAAAAUUGAAUUAUGCACACUAAAUGCACAGAAAACUCAAUUAAUGUAUACAAAAGAGAGAUGAUCUCUUAAUUUAUUCAUAUUUUUGCAUUUUGCACCUAUUUGUCUAUUUUUUUCUAUAAAAAAUGAAAGGCGAGAAGAGGCAUCCGAUGUCGUUUCACGCGCAGAUGUGACAUGUGCAUGUUCCCUAUCGAAACCACAAAGGUUCUUGUGAGAAGCUCUGGUUUGUAAGAGGCUUGUGACAAAAUAUGUUUAAGUUGGACAUUUUUUUACCACGGCAUAUGUGCACCCUUGUCAUGACACCAUGCCAGGUUUCAUAAAUUUAUAACGAGUUUUGCAUUUAUGGUAAUUUGAAAACCAAGUUUCUCAAUGAUUGCGGUCGAGUCAAGACACUAAGAUAUUUGGAAUUCAUUCCCAUUUCUUGACUGGGACCUAAUCAUGCAGCCAGGGAUAAGUAUACGAUUUUUCAACCAAUUUUCAUGCACUGGACCUUGUAAUUGUAGUUAAAAUUUUAAUUAUGCACAUUAAAUGGCUAGACAAUUCAAUUACUGUAUUAAACAGACCAAAUGAACCGUGGAAAAUUCCAUAGUCUAGCACGACGGUCAUAUUGCUCUAUGGUGUCUCUAGAAAUAAAUUCAUGGCAAGAAUCGAUAGCGGGUGUUACUUCGCACAUAAAUGGUGAACGUCCCUAUCGGAACCACAUGGCUUUAUUGUUAGAAUCUAUGGUUUGUUAGAGGCUUGUACCAAAACAUGUCCAAAAUUGGGCAAAUUAUUUUACCACAACACACAACAUGCAACGUAAUGACACCAUGCCCAAGUGUCAUGAAAUACCAACGAGGUCUAGAUUUACAAAAAUUUAAAAAUCAAGAUUCCCCAUGUUUGCGGCCGAGCCAAGAUGCUAAGAUUGUUGGAAAUAAGCCCUAGAGGCAAUAAUAAAUUAGUUAUUGUUAUAUUGCCUUGUUCAUGAUAACCGUUUAUUAUCCAUGCUAGAAUUGUACUGAUUGGAAACUCAAAUACAUGUGUGGGUACAUAGAAAACACUGUGUUCCUAGUGAGCCUAUGAUGGGAUAGCUCAUUGAUCAAAGAUGGUCAAGGACUCCUGGCCAUAGACAUGAGUUGUCAUUUGAUAACGGGAUCACAUCAUUAGGAGAAUGAUAUGAUGGACAAGACCCAAACUAUGAACGUAGCAUAUGAUCAUGUAAGUUUAUUGUUUUUGUUUUCUGCAUGUCAAGUAUAUAUUCCUAUGACCAUGAGAUCAUGCAACUCCUAGACACCAGAGGAAUGCCUUGUGUGUAUCAAACAUCACAAUGUAACCAGGUGACUAUAAAGGUGCUCUAAUGGUAUCACCGAGGGUGUCUGUUGGGUCCCCGUGAAUCGAGACUAGGAUUUGUCACUCCGUAUGACGGAGAGGUAUCUCUAGGGCCCACCCAGUAAUACAACAUCACAAGAAGCUUGCAAGCAAUGUGAAUAAGGAUUUAGUCAUAGGAUCUUGUAUUAUGGAACAAGUAAAGAGACUUGCCGGUAACGAGAUUGAACUCGGUAUGCAGAUACCGACGAACGAAUCUCGGGCAAGUAACAUACCGACGAACAAAGGGAACAAUAUACGGGAUUGAUUGAAUCCUUGACAUCAUGGUUCGACUGAUAAAGAUGUUUGCAUAAUAUGUAGGAGCCAAUAUGGGCAUCCAGGUCCCGCUAUUGGUUAUUGACCGAAGAGUGUCUCGGUCAUGUCUGCAUAGUUCUCAAACCAACACGGUCUGCACACUUAAGGUUUGGUGAUGAUUUAUUAUUAAUGAGUUAUGUGUGGUGAUAACCGGAAGUUGUUUGGAGUCCCGGAUGAGAACCAGAUGUCACCAGGAGCUCUGGAAUGGUCCGGAGGUAAAUUUUUAUAUAUAUGAAAGUGGUAUUCGGGUUUCGGGAAGGUUUUCGGUGUUUCCAGUAGUGUACCGGGAGUGCCGAAUAGGUUCCGGGGGUCCAUCGGGAGGGGCCCACCCACCCCCGGGGCCACAUGGGCUUGAGAGGUGGCGCACCAGCCCCUAGAGGGCUGGACAGCCGACCCCUAAAGGGCCUAUGCGCCCAAGGUGGUAGGUGGGGGUGCCUUGGAGACGAGGGAGUCCUCACUAGGGCUUCACUUUGGUCGUUCGACACUUCCUUGGAGGAGGCGCUAGGGAUGUGCCUCACCCACCCCUCCUCCUAUAAAUCAAGAGGGAUAGGGAGGGCAGACAUACGCGAAGGCAUAGGUGCAGCCCUCCCUCUCUCCCUAGAUCCGUGUCUCUUCCAAAACGCAUCUCCGACAGCGCUUGGUGAAGUCGUGCUGAGAUUGCUCCACCACCACCGCCACCACGCUGUUGUGCUAUCGGAGAACUCAUAUACCUCUCCGCCCUCUCUUGCUGGAUCAAGGAGACGGGGAAUGUGAUACGUCCAUUUUGCAUCAUGUUUUCAUGUUGAUAUUUAUCGCUUCUUCGGUUGUUAUUUCACUUCACGGUACAAUACUUAUGCCUUUUCUCUCUUAUUUUGCAAGGCUUACAUGAAGAGGGAGAAUGCCGACAACUGGAAUUCUGGCCUGAAAGUGGACCAAAGUUGAGAUACCUAUUCUGCGCAACUCCAAACGCCGUAAAAAUUAACGAGGAUUUUUUUUCCGGAUUUAUAAAAAAUACUGGGCCGAAGAAGUGCCACAGGGGCGCGUGCAGGUGGCCAAAAGCGUGCACGACGCGGCCACCCCCAGGCCGCGCCAUGAGGGCUUGUGGGUAGCCUGCUGGCCCACUGGCCCCACUCUUCUGCUAUAUGAAGGGUUUCGUCGAGAAAAAAAAUCAGGGAGGAGCUUUUUCGUGGAUUCGCCGCCGCCACGAGGCGGAACUUGAGCAAAACCAAUCUAGAGCUCCGGCAGGACGAUCCUGCCAGGGAACCUUCCCUCCCGGAGGGGGAAAUCGUCGCCAUCAUCAUCACCAACACUCCUCCCAUCGGAGGGGACUAGUCACCAUCAACAUCUUCAUCAGCACCAUCUCAUCUCCAAACCCUAGUUCAUCACUUGUAACCAAUCUCCGUCUCGCGACUCCGAUUGGUACUUGUAAGGUUGCUAGUAGUGUUGACUACUCUUUGUAGUUGAUGCUAGUUGGAUUAUUUGGUGGAAGAGUUUAUGUUCAGAUCCUUGAUGCUACUCAUUACCUCUCUGGUCAUGAAUAUGAUUAUGCUUUGUGAGUAGUUACUUUUGUUCCUGAGGACAUGGGAUAAGUCAUGCUAAUAGUAGUCAUGUGAAUUUGGUAUUCGUUCGGUAAUUUGAUAUGUUGUAUGUUGUUUUUCCUCUAGUGGUGUUAUAUGAACGUCGACUACAUAACACUUCACCACUAUUUGGGCCUAGAGGAAGGCAUUGGGAAGUAGUAAGUAGAUGAUGGGUUGCUAGAGUGACAGAAGCUUAAACCCUAGUUUAUGCGUUGCAUCGUAAGGGGCUGAUUUGGAUCCACUAGUUUAAUGCUAUGGUUAGACUUUGUCUUAAUUCUUCUUUCGUAGUUGCGGAUGCUUGCGAGAGGGGUUAAUCAUAAGUGGGAUGCUUGUCCAAUUAAGGGCAGUACCCAAGCGAUGGUCCACCCACAAAUCAAACUAUCAAAGUAACGAACGCGAAUCGUAUGAACAUGAUGAAAACUAGCAUGACAGAAAUUCCCGUGUGUCCUCGGGAGCGUUUUUCCUCCUAUAAGACUUUGUCCAGGCUUGUCCCUUGCUACAAAAGGGAUUGGGCCACUUUGCUGCACCGUUGCUAAUUUUUUUACUUGUUGCUUUCUAUGAAUCAUCUCACCACACAAUCACUUGUUACCGACAAUUUUAGUGCGUGCAGAUUUUACCUUGCUGAAAACCACUUGUCAGAUCCUUCUGCUCCUCGAUGGGUUCAACACUCUUACUUAUCGAAAGGACUACGAUUGAUCCCCUAUACUUGUGGGUCAUCAAGACUCUUUUCUGGCACCGUUGCCGGGGAGUGAAGCGCCUUUGGUAAGUGGAACUUGGUAAGGAAACAUUCAUAUAGUGUGCUGAAAUUUAUUGUCACUUGUCACUAUGGAUACUAAUCCUUUGAGGGGCUUGUUCGGGGUAUAUUCACCUCGAACAGAAGCACAAAGAGUUGCUCCUCAACAUGCUGCACCUACUGAAAAUAUUUGCUUUGAAUUUCCUUCGGGUAUGCUUGAGAAACUGCUGGCUAAUCCUUUUACAUGAGAUGGAACAUCACAUCCAGACUUGCAUCUAAUCUAUGUAGAUGAAGUUUGUGGUUUAUUUAAGCUUGCAGGUUUGCCUAAGGAUGAGGUCAAGAAGAAGGUCUUUCCUUUAUCUUUGAAGGAUAAGGUGUUGACAUGGUAUAGGCUAUGUGAUGACACUGGAUCAUGGGACUACAAUCGGUUGAAAUUGGAAUUUCAUCAAAAGUUUUAUCCUAUGCAUUUAGUACAUCGUGAUCGGAAUUUUAUUUACAAUUUUUGGCCUCGUGAUAGAGAAAGCAUCACUCCAGCUUGGGGGAGGCUUAAAUCAAUGUUAUAUUCAUGCCCCAAUCAUGAGCUCUCGAGAUAAAUUAUCAUUCAGAACUUCUAUGCUCGGCUUUCUCAUGAUGAUCGCACCAUGCUUGACACUUCUUGUACCGGUUCUUUUAUGAAGAGAGAUAUUGACUUCAAAUGGAAUUUAUUGGAGAGAAUUAAACGCAACCCUGAAGAUUGGGAGCUUGAAGAAGGUAAGGAGUCAGGUAUCAAUUUCACGUUUGAUUGCGUUAAAUCCUUUGUUGAGGCAAAAACUUUUUGUGACUUUAGCGCUAAGUAUGGACUUGACUCUGAGAUAGUAGCUUCAUUGUGUGAAUCAUUUGCUGCUCAUAUUGAUCUCCCCAAAGAGAAGUGGUUUAAAUAUCCUCCUCCUUUAGAAGUUAAUGUAGUUAAACCCAAUCCAGUUGAAGAGAAAGUCAUUGCCUAUAAUGAUCCUAUUGUUCCCAGUGCUUACAUUGAGAAACCACCUUUCCCUGUUAGGAUAAAGGAUCAUUCUAAAGCUUCAACUGUGAUACGUAGAGGCUACAUUAGAACACCUACACCCCCUGAGCAAAUUAGAGUUGAACCUAGCAUUGCUAUUAUCAAAGAUCUUCUGUCCGACGAUGUUGAGGGACAUAAUAUUCACUUUUGUGAAGAUGCUCCUAGAAUUGCUAAACCUCACGCUAGAUCAUUGUUAUCAUGGCUUAUGUGACGUGGGUGCUAGUGUUAGUGCAAUACCUCAAUCCUUAUAUGAUGAAAUCAAAGAUGAGAUUGCACCUGUUGAGAUAGAGCCUAUUGAUGUCACUAUUCAACUUGCCAAUAGAGAUACUAUCUGCCCUGUGGGAAUUGUUAGGGAUGUUGAAGUCUUGUGUGGUAAAAUGAAGUAUCCUGCUGAUUUCCUAGUUCUUGCUACCGCACAAGAUAGCUUUUGUCCCAUCAUAUUUGGUAGACCUUUUCUCAAUACUGUCAAUGCUCAUAUUGAUUGUGAGAAGCAAUCUGUCACUAUUGGCUUUGAAGGGGUGUCACAUGAGUUCAAUUUCUCUAAGUUUGGUAGACAACCUCAUGAAAAGGAGUUGCCUAGUAGGGAUGAAACUAUUGCCUUAGCUUCUAUUUCCAUGCCUCCUACUGAUCCCUUAGAGCAAUACUUGCUUGAGCAUGAAAAUGAUAUGCAUAUGGAUGAAAGGGAUGAGAUAGAUAGAGUUUUCUUAGAACAAUAUCCUAUCCUUAAGAAUAAUCUGCGUGUUGAACUGCUUGGGGAUCCACCCCCACCAAAGGGUGAUCCUGUGUUCGAGCUUAAACAGUUGCCUGAUACUCUUAAGUAUGCCUAUCUUGAUGAAAAAGAGAUAUAUCCUGUUAUAAUUAGUGCUAGCCUCUCAUAGCAUGAAGAAAAGAAGUUACUAAAAACUCUGACAAAGCACCGUGCUGCUAUUGGAUAUACUCUUGAUGAUCUUAAGGGAAUUAGUCCCACUCUAUGCCAUCACAAGAUUAAAACCUAUCCUGAUUUCAAACCAGUUGCUGAUCAUCAAAGGAGAUUAAAUCCUAAGAUGAAAGAAGUAGUAAGAAAAGAAAUACUAAAGCUCCUGGAAGCGGGUAUUAUCUAUCCUGUUGCUCAUAGUGAUUGGGUGAGUCCGGUGCAUUGCGUCCCUAAGAAGGGAGGUAUUAACGUUGUCCCUAAUGAUAAGGAUGAAUUGAUCCCACACAGGAUUAUUACUGGCUAUAGGAUGGUGAUCGAUUUUAGGGAAUUGAAUAAAGCCACUAGGAAAGAUCAUUACCCUUUGCCUUUUAUCGACCAAAUGCUAGAAAGGCUAUCCAAACACACACACUUCUGCUUUCUAGACAGAUAUUCUAGUUUCUCCCAAAUACCAGUUGCACAAUCUGAUCAGGAGAAAACCACUUUCACCAGCCCUUUCGGUACCUUUGCUUACAGACGUAUGCCUUUUGGCUUAUGUAAUGCACCUGCCACCUUUCAAAUAUGUAUGAUGGCUAUAUUCUGUGACUUUUGUGAAAAGAUUGUCGAGGUUUUCAUGGAUGACUUUUCUGUUUACGGGUCUUCCUUUGAUGAUUGCCUCAGUAACCUUGAUCGAGUCUUACAGAGAUGUAAAUACACCAAUCUUGUCUUGAAUUGGGAGAAGUGCCACUUUAUGGUUAACGAAGGCAUCGUCUUAGGACAUAAAAUUUCUUAAAGAGACAUUGAAGUCGAUAAGGCUAAGGUUGAUGCAAUCGAGAAAAUGCCAUACCCCACAGAUAUCAAAGGUAUAAGAAGUUUCCUUGGUCAUGCUGGUUUCUAUAGAAGGUUCAUCAAAGACUUCUCUAAGAUUUCUAGGCCUCUUACCAAUCUCUUACAAAAGGAUAUUCCUUUUGUUUUUGACUAUGAUUGUGAGGAAGCCUUCGAAAUACUUAAGAGGGCUUUAAUAACUACACCUAUUGUUCAACCACCUGAUUGGAACUUACCUUUCGAGAUCAUGUGUGACGCUAGUGAUUAUGCUGUUGGUGCUGUUCUAGGGCAAAGAGUCGAUAAGAAGUUAAAUGUUAUUCACUAUGCUAGUAAAACUCUAGACAGUGCCCAAAGAAACUAUGCCACUACGGAGAAGGAAUUUUUAGCAGUCGUGUUUGCAUGUGAAAAGUUCAGGUCUUACAUAGUUGAUUCCAAAGUCACUAUUCACACUGAUCACGCUGCUAUUAAGUACCUAAUGGAGAAUAAAGACGCUAAACCUAGACUUAUCAGAUGGGUUCUCUUGCUACAAGAAUUUGAUUUGCACAUUGUCGACAGAAAGGGUGCUGAUAACCCAGUAGUAGAUAACUUGUCUAGGUUGGAGAACGUUCUCGAUGACCCACAACCUAUUGAUGAUAGCUUUCCCGAUGAGCAAUUGAAUGUCAUCAAUGCUUCACGUACUGCACCGUGGUAUGCUGAUUAUGCAAACUAUAUCGUUGCCAAAUAUAUACCACCUAGUUUCACAUACCAGCAAAAGAAGAAAUUCUUUGACUUAAGACAUUACUUUUGGGAUGAUCCUCACCUUUAUAAGGAAGGAGUAGGUGGUGUUAUUAGACGUUGUGUACCCGAACAUGAACAGGGACAGAUCCUACAUAAGUGUCACUCCGAGGCCUACGGAGGACAUCAUGCGGGAGAUAGAACUGCACACAAGGUAUUGCAAUCAGGUUUCCUCUCUUCAAGGAUGCCCGUAAGUUUGUCUUGUCUUGUGACGAAUGUCAAAUAAUAGGUAAUAUUAGCAAACGUCAGGAAAUGCCUAUGAACUAUUCACUUGUCAUUGAACCAUUUGAUGUUUGGGGCUUUGAUUAUAUGGGACCUUUUCCAAAAUCCAAUGGGUAUACUCACAUCUUAGUUGCUGUUGAUUACGUCACUAAGUGGGUAGAAGCUAUCCCCACUAGUAGUGCUGAUCACAACACUUCUAUCAGGAUGCUUAAAGAAGUUAUCUUCCCUUGAUUUGGAGUCCCUAGAUAUCUAAUGACCGACGAUGGUUCAUAUUUCAUUCAUGGUGCUUUUCGUCAAACGCUUGCUAAGUACGAUGUCAACCAUAGAAUUGCGUCUCCCUAUCACCCUCAGUCCAGUGGUCAAGUAGAGCUAAGUAAUAGAGAGAUUAAACUGAUUCUGCAAAAGACUGUCAACAGGUCUAGAAAGAAUUGGUCUAAGAAGCUCGAUGAUGCACUGUAGGCUUAUAGAACUGCCUAUAAGAAUCACAUGGGCAUGUCUCCAUACAAAAUGGCAUACGGUAAAGCAUGUCAUUUACCUCUUGAGCUAGAGCAUAAAGCUUAUUGGGCGUUCAAAGAGCUCAACUUUGAUUUCAAACUUGCCGGUGAGAAGAGGUUAUUUGAUAUUAGCUCGCUUGAUGAAUGGAGAACUCAGGCAUAUGAGAAUGCCAAGUUGUUCAAAGAGAAGGUUAAGAGGUGGCAUGAUAAGAGGAUACAAAAGCGUGAGUUCAAUGUAGGUGAUUAUGUCUUGCUAUAUAACUCUCGUUUAAGAUUCUUUGCAGGCAAGCUUCUCUCAAAAUGGGAAGGUCCCUAUGUUGUUGAGGAAGUAUAUCGUUCUGGUGCUAUCAAGAUCAACAACACGGAAGGUAAUUGUCCGAGAGUGGUAAAUGGGCAGAGAAUCAAGCAUUAUAUCUCAGUUACUCCCAUAAAUGUUGAAAGCAAUAUUAUCAAUACCAUAACUCCGGAAGAAUACCUAAGGGAUAUUUAUCAGCCUGUUUCAGACUCCGAAAACGAAGAGGUAUGUGAUUCGAUAAGAAAACAGAGUCCAAAACUUUUCCAGUAGGAAAUUUUCUCCGUUUUGGAAUAUUUGAAAAAUACAAAAAUUGAAGUAGUCCGGAAAGUGCGCGAGGAGGCGACAAGCCUGCACGGCGCGGGCCCACCCCCUGGCCGCACCGUUAGGGCUUGUGGCCACCUCGUGCGCCUCCCGGGCUCCGUUUUCGUGCGGGGUACUCCUUCUAGUCUGAAAAAAAUCAUUAUAUAUACUCCUGUUUGAUCUGACCUCUGCAUCAUGCAGAUUUCCUCUGUUUUUCGUUUCGAGCGUGUUUUCUGCCACAGAUCUAGGUCAAGAUGUCUUCUCAGGAUUCAGAGGGGGAGAGUUAUGUGGCUGAUUACCUUGCUAACCCCAAGGUCUAUGGGGACUUGGAUCCUUAUGGCUGGACAACUGAUGAGGAAGAAGAUUAUGAUCCGAAGGGGAAGGAACAAACAAGUUCCGAUGAAGAGGAGGCUCCUCUACCUCAACCUGGACACACGCAUGUGGAGUUCAAGAAGUCGAGCCUCCCUGACUCAAGAAAGAAGCCUAAGACCUUGUUUAUACCUUCUCGUUUCUUGCAGGAGAGUAAGCAAGAAUUAUGCCAAAGGGUGUUGAAGCUUGAAGAGGAAAAUGAUGAUGUGAGGGAGCAGAAUUUUAUGCUCAACUGGAAAUUAAACAAGCUCAAGACCUCUUCAACAACUCCUCCACCUUCACCACCAAAGGGAGACAACUGAGCAUUGGUAUGGGCAAUCCCCUUGGCUUGUGCCAAGCUUGGGGGAGUUGCCCCAGUAUCGUAUCACCAUCACAUCUUUUGCCUUUACCUUUGUUUUAGUUUGUUCCUUUUCAAUUUUCUCUUUCUCUAGUAGUAUAAAGUCUUAGUGUUUUAGUCUUGAGUUUUGCUUUGUGUCACCCCUGAUGUAUUCGAGCUCGUGAGCCAUAUAAUAAAGAGUGUCUUAGUUGACGGGAUUUGCCUCUUGCCAUGAUCAAAAGAGUGAGAGUAGAACAAAAGCAUGAAAGAUCAUGUACUGAUCUUAUGGGAAGUGAUGGCUUCACAUAUAAAAAGAAUGAGGAUUGAAACUUGUUGAGGGUAGGCAAAUGUAGACCUUGGUCAUGGUUGCAAUUAACAGGAAGUGAUAAAGAAGGAGAGGUUCACAUAUAAAUAUAUCAUCUGUGACACCAUCUAUGAUUAUGAACACUCACUAAACUAUUGCAUGGCUAGAAGUAGAUGUUGGACAAGGAAGACAACAUAAUGAAUUGUGUUGGCUUGGCUCCGACAAUGUUAUAUGAUUAGAGAUCCCUUAGCAUGUGACGAUUGCUUCCACCUCAUAUUAGCCAAAACUCCCGCACCAAGUAGAGAUACUACUUGUGCAUCCAUAAACCUUCAACCUAGUUUUGCCAUGAGAGUCCACCAUACCUACCUAUGGAUUGAAUAAGAUCCCUCAAGUAAGUUGUCAUCGGUGCAAGCAAUAAAAAUUGCUCUCUAAUAUGUAUGAUCUAUUAGUGUGUGGAAAAUAAGCUUUGUACGAACCUGUGAUGAGGAAGACAUAAAAGCGACAGACUGCAUAAUGAAGUUCUUUAUCACAAGAGGCAAUAUAAAGUGACGUUCCUCCGCACUAAGAGGACACGCAUCCAAACCUCAAAAGCGCAUGACAACCUCUGCUUCCCUCUGCGAAUGGCCUAUCUUGUACCUUUACUUUUUGCCCUUUAAAGAGUCAUGGUGGUCUUCACCAAUUCCUUAUUUCGCCUUUAUCUUGGCUACCGUCAUAUGCUUGGGAAAGAUCUAUAUUUGUAUGUCAACUUGGAGGUAAGUAUUCAUGAAUUAUUAUUGUUGACAUUACCCUUGAGGUAAGCAGUUGGGAGGCAAAACUGUAAGCCCCUAUCUUUAUCUGUGUCCAGCUGAAACUUUGAUCCCAUGAGUACCACGUGAGUUGUAGCAAUUCUAGAGAACGAAAGAAUGAUUGAGUAUGUGGAUUUGCUUUACAAGCUCUUAUUUGACUCUUUCUGAUGUUGUGAUAAAUUGCAAUUGCUACAAUGGCUAAAGGCUAUCGGUUGUUACUUCUCGGUAAGGUUCUUGAUCCAUGCUUUACUUUGUGAAGGAAUUGCCACUUUUGCAUGAGAGAUUAUAUGUUGGUAUUGCUGUUCUGAUCUUGAUCAUGAUGCAUGCAUGUUCGUAUCUUGUUUUUUCGACACCUCUCUCCCUAAACAUGUGGACAUAUUUAUUGAGCUAGGCUUUCGCUUGAGGACAAGCGAGGUCUAAGCUUGGGGGAGUUGAUACAUCCAUUUUCCAUCAUGUUUUCAUGUUGAUAUUUAUCGCUUCUUGGGCUGUUAUUUCACUUCACGGUACAAUACUUAUGCAUUUUCUCUUUUAUGUUGCAAGGUUUACAUGAAGAGGGAGAAUGCCGGCAACUGGAAUUCUGGCCUGAAAGUGGAGCAAAGUUGAGAUACCUAUUAUGCGCAACACCAAACGUCGUAAAAAUCAACGAUGAUUUUUUUCCAGAUUUAUAAAAAAUACUGGGGCGAAGAAGUGCCAGAGGGGCGCGUGCAGGUGGUCACAAGCUUGCACGGCGCGGCCACCCCCCGAGGCCGCGCCAUGAGGGCUUGUGGGCAGCCUGCUGGCCCACUGCCCCCCUCUUCUGCUAUAUGAAGGGUUUCGUCUAGAAAAAAAAUCAGGGAUGAGCUUUUUCGUGGAUUCGCCGCCGCCACGAGGCGGAACUUGAGCAUAACCAAUCUAGAGCUCCCGCAGGACGAUCCUGCCGGGGAAACAUCCCUCCCGGAGGGGGAAAUCAUCGCCAUCGUCAUCACCAACACUCCUCUCAUCGGAGGGGUUUCGUCACCAUCAACAUCUUCAUCAGCACCAUCUCAUCUCCAAACCCUAGUUCAUCACUUGUAACCAAUCUCCGUCUCGCGACUCGAUUGGUACUUGUAAGGUUGCUAGUAGUGUUGAUUACUCUUUGUAGUUGAUGCUAGUUGGAUUAUUUGGUGGAAGAGUUUAUGUUCAGAUCCUUGAUGCUACUCAUUACCUCUCUGGUCAUGAAUAUGAUUAUGCUUUGUGAGUAGUUACUUUUGUUCCUGAGGACAUGGGAUAAGUCAUGCUAAUAGUAGUCAUGUGAAUUUGGUAUUCGUUCGGUAAUUUGAUAUGUUGUAUGUUGUUUUUCCUCUAGUGGUGUUAUGUGAACGUCGACUACAUAACACUUCACCAUUAUUUGGGCCUAGAGGAAGGCAUUGGAAAGAGUAAGUAGAUGAUGGGUUGCUAGAGUGACAGAAGCUUAAACCCUAGUUUAUGCGUUGCUUCAUAAGGGGCUGAUUUGGAUCCACUAGUUUAAUGCUAUGGUUAGACUUUGUCUUAAUUUUUCUUUCGUAGUUGCAGAUGCUUGCGAGAGGGGUUAAUCAUAAGUGGGAUGCUUGUCCAAGUAAGGGCAGUACCCAAGCGCUGGUCCACAUAAGUGGGAUGCACUCCCUCUCUCAUAGAUGUUAGUCUUCAUAGAUAGAUCUUGGUGAGCAUAGGAUUUUUUUUGUUUCCCAUGCGACAUUCCCCAAUAGUGGUAUCAUGAGCUUGGUCUAUGCGUAGAAGACAUCAUGAGUAGAAAACAAAGGAGUUUGUGGGCAUUGAUAUUCAGAUUGCUUCCCUCCUUAGUAUUUUCUUGAUUCAGCAGUAUUGUGGGAUGAAGCGGCCCACACCAACCUUACUCCACGUACGAGAGACUGGUUCCAUUGACUGAUAUGCAACUUGUUGCAUAAAUAUGGCUGGUGGGUGUAUGACUCUCCCACUUUAGUUGAAUCGGAUUCAAUAGAGGCGGUCCUUGUAGAAGGUUAAAUAGAAACUUGCAUAUCACCAUUUUGGUUUUGCGUAGGUAAGAAGCGUUCUUGCUAGAUACCCAUAGGAGCCACAUAAAACAUGCAACAAGAAAUUAGAGGAUGUCGAACUUGUUCUUGCAGGGUAUGUUGUGAUACGAUAUGGCCAAAUGACAUGAUAAUAUAUAUUUGAUGUAUGUGAUAAUCAUGUUGUCAUAGUUAAUAUCGACUUGCAUGCCGAUGCUACAACAACCGGGAGGAGACAUAGGGUUGUCCCUAAUUAUUGUAUGACAUGUGUGUCAAUCAUUAUGUAAUGCUUUACUUUAUCGCUAAACGGUAGCAAUAGUAGUAGAAGCAAGGUUGCCGCGACAACCUUGAUGGAAACACAAUGGUGGAGAUCAUGAUGAUGGACAUCAUGGUGUUGUGCAGGUGACGAUGGAGAUCAUGCCGCUUCUUUAAAGAUGAAGAUCAAAAAGCACAAGUUCAUGGCCAUAUCAUGUCACUUAUGAUUUGCAUGUGAUGUUAAUCCUUUUUAUGCACCUUGUUUUUCUUAUGACGAUAUUAGCAUUAUAAGGUGAUCCCUCACUAAAAUUUCAAGAUAAAAUUGUGUUCUCCCUGAGCGUGCACCGUUGCGAAAGUUCGUCGAUUCGAGACACCACGUGAUGAUCGGGUGUGAUAGACUCUACGUUCACAUACAACGGGUACAAGGCAGUUUUGCACAUGCCAAACACCCAGGUUAAACUUGAUGAGCCUAGCAUGUACACACAUGGCCUCGGAACAUAGGAGACUGAAAGGUCGAACACGACUCAUAUAGUAGAUAUGAUCAACAUGAAGAUGUUCACCAUUGAAACCACCUCAUCUCACGAGAUGAUCGGACAUGGGUUGGUGGAUUUGGAUCAUGUGACACUCGAACAACCUGAGGGAUGUUGAGUUGAGUGGGAGUUCUUAAGUAAUAUUAUUAAUUGAACUCAUUAUCAUGAACAUAGUUAAUAUGUCUUUUGAAAUAAUGUUGUAGAUCAAUAGCUUGUGCUGUAGCUCCCCUAUAUUUUGAUACGUUCCUAGAAAAAACUAAGUUGAAAGAUGAUAGUAGCUAUUAUGUUGAGUGGGUCCGUAAACUGAGGAUUGUACUCAUUUUUGCAAAGAAGUCUUAUGUACUUAAUGCAACGCUCGGUGUGCUACCCCCCCGCCCCUCCGUGGUUGUUGAUAUUGCGAACAUCCGACAAACACAUUUUGAUGACUACAUGAUAGUUCAGUGUGUCAUGCUUUAUGGAUCAGAAUUGAGGAUCCAAAACGCUUUGAACGUCAAAGAACAUAGGAGAUGUUGCAAGAGCUGAAAUUUGGAUUUCAGACUCGUGCCCGUGUUGAGAGGUAUGAGACCUCCGACAAGAUUCUUUGCCUGCAAAAUGAAGGAGAAAAGCUCAAACGGUGAGCAUGUGCUCAGAUUGUCUGGGUGCUACAAUCGCUUGAAUCAAGUGGGAGUUGAACUUCCAGAUGAAAUAGUGAUUGAAAUAGUUCUCCAAAGUCACUACCACCAAGCUACCGAGCUUAGUGAUGAACUAUAGCAUACCAGGGAUGGAGAAGAUGAUCCUUGAGCUGUUCGCGAUGUUUGACACCGCGAAGGUAGAAAUCAAGAAAGAGCAUCAAGUGUCGAUGUUUAGUAAAACCACUAGUUUCAAGAAGAAAAAGGGAAAGAAGGGAAACUUCGAGAAUGACAAGUCACUUGCCACUCCAUUGAAGAAAUCCAAGGUUGAAACCAAACCCGAGACUAAGUGCUUCUAUUAUGAGGGGAAGGUCACUUAGGCGGUACUGCCCUAGAUACUUGGUAGAUAAGAAGACUGUCGGCGUCAACAGAAAUAUAUUAUAUAUACGUGUUAUUGAUGUGUACAUUACUAAUACUCCUAGUAGCACCUGGGUAUUAGAUACCGGUUUAGUUUCUAAAUGUUGUAAGUCUAAAUAAAAUCUACAGAAUAAAUGGAGACUAGCUAAAGGCGAGGUGACGAUGUGUGUUGGAAGUGUUUCCAAGGUUGAUGUGAUCACCAUCGCACGCUCCUUCUACCUUCGAGAUUAGUGUUGAACCUAAAUAAAUGUUAUUUGGCAUUUGCAUUGAGCAUGAACAUGAUCGUGUUUAUUGCAAUGGGGUUAUUCAAUUAAGUGAGGGAAUAAUGGUUAUUCUGUUUACAUGAAUAAAUCCUUUAAUGGUCAUGCACCCAAUGUGAAUGGUUUCUUGAAUCUCGAUCGUAGUAAUACACACGUUCAUAAUAUGUAUGCCAAAAGAUACAAAGUUAGUAAUGAUAGUACCACUUAAUUUUGGCACUGCCGCUUAGGUCAUAUUGGUAUAAAACGCAUGACGAAGAUCCAUACUGAUGGAUCUUUGGACUCACGCGAUUUUGAAUCAUUUGAGACAUCUGAACCAUGCCUAUUGGUGUAAACUCAUGAAGAAAUUCCAUGCAAAUGUAUCUUUUGGACUCACAUGAUUUUGGAUCACUUGAGACAUGCAAACCAUGCCACAUGGGUAAGCUGACUGAAGGCCUCGUUUUCGAGUGAGAUGGAAUGAGCAAGUGACUUAUUGGAAAUGCUAUAUUUUGAUGUAUGCACUCCAAUGAGUGUCGAGGCACGCAGUGGAUAUCAUUAUGUACUUACUUCACAAAUGAUUUGAGUAGAUACAUGUGUAUUCACUUGAUGAAUCACGAGUGUGAAAUAUUGAAAAGUUCAAGCAAUUUUAGAGUGAAAUUGAAGAUCAUCAUGACAAGAGGGUGAAAUGUCUAUGAUAUGAUCUUAGAGGUGAAUAUCUGAGUUGCGAGUUUGGUAUAUAUUUAAGACAAUAUGGAAAUUGUUUCACAACUCAAGGCACCUGGAACACCGUUGUGUGAUGGUGUGUCCGAACAUCGUAGACGCGCCCUAUUAGAUGUGGUGCAUACUAUGAUGUCUCUUAUCAAAUCACCACUAUCAUUUUCGGGUUAAGCGUUAGAGACAAACACAUUAACUUUAGAUAGGGAACCAUAUAUUCCCAUUGAAAUGACAUCGUAUGAACUAUGGUUUGGCAGGAAACCUAAGCUGUCGUUUCUUAAAGUUUGGGGCUAUGAUGCUUAUGCUAAAAGGCUUCAUCCUGAUAAGCUCGAACCCCAAGAGGAUAAAUGCAUCUUCAUAGGAUACCCAAAACAGUUGGGUAUACCUCCUAUCUCAUAUCCAAAACAAAAGUGUUUGUUGCCGAAAUGGGUCCUUUCUCGAGAAAGAGUUUCUCUCGAAAGAGUUGAGUGGGAGGAUGGUGGAACUUGAUGAGGUUUUUGAACCGUCACUUCAACCAGAUAGUAGAAGGGCGCAUGAAGUUGUUCCUCUAGCGCCUACACCAGUUGAAGUGGAAGCUGAUGAUUGUUAUCAUGAAGCAUCAGAUCAUGUUACUAGCAAACCUCGUAGGCCGACAAGAACACGUACUGCUCCAGAGUGGUAUGGUUAUCCUGUCUUGGAGGUCAUGUUGUUGGACAAUAAUGAACCUACGAGCUAUGAAGAAGCGAUGGUGGGCCCAGAUUCUGACAAAUGGCUGAAGGCCAUGAAAUCAGAGAUAGGAUCCAUGUACGAAAACAAAGUGUGGACUUUGGAAAAAUUACUUGAUGGUCGUAAUGCUAUUAAGUACUAAUGGAUCUUUAAAAGGAAGACAUACGACGAUGGUAAAUGUCACUUUUUAUAAAGCUCGACUUGUCGCAAAGAAGUUUCUGACGAGUUCAAUGAGUUGACUAUGAUGAGACUUUCUCACCCAUAGCGAUGCUAAAGUUAGUUGGAAUUAUGUUAGCAGAUGUUGCAUUUUUCGAUUAUGAAAUCUGGCAGAUGGAUGUCAAAACAUUGUUUCCUUGACGGUUUCCUUGAGGAAAGGUUGUACGUGAUACAACCAGAAGGUUUUGUCGACCCCAAAGGAUGCUAACAAGUAUGCAAGCUCCAGCGGUCCUUCUAUGGACUGGAGCGAGCAUCUCAGAGUUGGAAUAUACACUUUAAUGAGAUGAUCAAAGAUUUUUGGGUUUAUACAAAGUUUAUGAGAAAUCUGUAUUUACAAGAAAGUGAGUGGGAGCACUAUACUUUUUUGAUAAGUAUAUGUGGUUGACAUAUUGUUUAUCGGAGAUUAUGUAGAAUUUCUCGAAAGUGCAUAGGGUUGUUUGAAAGGCGUUUUUCAAAGGAACCCCUGGAUUAAGCUACUUGAAUAUUAGGCAUCAAGAUAUAUAGAGAUAGAUCAAGACGCUUGAUAAAACUUUCAAUGAAUACAUACCUUGACAAGAUUUUGAAAGAGUUCAAAAUGGAUCAGUCAAAGAAGGAGUUCUUGCGUGUAUUGUAAGGUGUGAAUUUGAGUAAGACUCGAAGGCCGACCAUGACAGAGGAAACAGAAAGGACGAAGGUUGUCUCUUAUGCCUUAGUUGUAGGCUCUAUAGCAUGCCAUGUUGUGUACCGCACCUGAUGUGUGCCUUGCCAUGAGUCUGUCAAGGGGUACAAGAGUGAUCCAAAGUUGAUCACUAGACAACGGUCAAAAUUAUCCUUAAUAAGUUGAGGACUAAGGAAAUGUUUCUUGAUUAUAGAGGUGAUAAAAGAGUUCAUCAUAAAGGGUUACGUUGAUGCAAGCUUUGACACCAAUCCGGAUGACUCUGACUAGCAAACUGGAUUCGUAUAGUGGAGCAGUCAUUUGGAAAAGUUCCAAGUGGAGCGUGGUAACAUCAUAUAUAGUAUGACACGGGGAUUUCUAAAAUACACACAUAUCUGAAUGUUGUACACCCUUGACUAAAAAUCUCUCUCACGAGCAAGACAUGAUCGAACCCCAGAAAUGUAUGGGUGUUAGAUCCAUUACAAUCUAAAUCAAAUAGUGAUGUGAGCUAGAUUAUUGACUCUAGUUUAAGUGGGAGACUAUUGGAAAUAUGCCCUAGAGGGAAUAAUAAAGUAGUUAUUAUUAUAUUUUCUUGUUCAUGAUAAUCAUUUAUUAUCCAUGCUAGAAUUGUAUUGAUUGGAAACUCAAAUACAUGUGUGGGUACAUAGACAACACUGUGUCCCUAGUGACCUCUAAUGGGCUAGCUCGUUGAUCAAAUAUGGCCAAAGUUUCCUGGACAUAGACAUGAGUUGUCAUUUGGUAAGGGGUCACAUCAUUAGGAGAUUGAUAUGACAAACAAGACCCAAACUAUGAAUGUGGCAUAUGAUCGUGUGAGUUUAUUGCUACUGUUUUCUGCAUUUCAAGUAUCUGUUCCUAUGACCAUGAGAUCAUGCAACUCCCGAACACCGAAGGAAUGCCUUGUGUGUAGCAAAUGUCAUAACGUAACUGUGUGACUAUAAAGGUGCUCUAUAGGUAUCUUUGAGGGUGUUUGUUGGGUUGGCGUAAAUCGAGACUGGGAUAUGUCACUCCGAAUGACGUAGAGGUAUCUCUAGGUCUCACUCGGUAAUACAACAUCACAAAAAGCUUGCAAGCAAUGUGAAUAAGGAGUUAGUCACGGGAUAUUUCAUUACAGAAUGAGUAAAGAGACUUGACGAUAACGAGAUUGAAUUAGGUAUGCAGAUACCAACGAUCGAAUCUCGGGCAAGUAACAUAUCGAUGGACAAAGGGAACAAUAUACGAGAUUGAUUGAAUCCUUGUUAUCGUGGUUCAACUGAUAAAGAUCUUCAUAGAAUAUGUAGGAGCCAAUAUGGGCAUCCAGGUCUCGCUAUUUGUUAUUGACCACAGAGUGUCUCGGUCAUGUCUGCAUAGUUCUCGAACCCGCGGGGUCUGCACACUUAAGGUCCAGUAACGAUAUAGUAUCAAUGAGUUAUGUGUGGUGAUAAAAAAAAGUUGUUCGGAGUCUCGGAUGAGAUCUCGGACGUCACGAGGAGCUCCGAAAUAGUCCGGAGGUAAAAAUUUAUAUGUAGGAAAGUGGUAUUCGGGUUCCGGAAAGGUUUCGGGUGUUUCCGAUAGUGUACCGGGUGUGCCGAAAAGAUUCCAGGGGUCCACCGGGAGGAGCCCACCCCCCCGAGGAGCACAUGGGCCUAAGAGGUGGCGCACCAGCCCCUAGUGGUGUGGGCAGCCGACCCCUAAAGGGCCCAUGCGCCCAAGGUGGUAGGUGGGGGUGUCUUAGAGAGGUGGGAGUCCUCCCUAGGGCUUCCACCUCCCUCAAGGGAGGUGGACUCUUCCCACCUUGGUCGGCCAACCCCUCCUUGGAGGAGGGGCUAGGGCUGCACUCCACCUACCCCCUCUUCCUAUAAAUAGAGAGGGAGAGGGAGGGAAGCGACACUCCAAGGCAUAGGUGCAGCCCUCCCUCUUCCCUAGAUGUGUUUCUCCUCCAAAACUCAUUUGUGGUAGCGCUUGGCGAAGCCCUGCUGAGAUUGCUCCACCACCACUGCCACCACGCCGUUGUGCUGUCGGAGAACUCAUAUACCUCUCCUCCCUAGCUUGCUGGAUCAAGGAGGUGGAGAACAUCAUCGAGUUGUACAUGUGCUGAACAUGGAGGUGCCGUCCGUUCGGCACUAGACCGGGAUGGAUCAUGAUGAGAUUACGGGACGGAUCAUGAUGGGAUCGUGGGACAGAUUGCGAUUUGGAUCGUGAAGACAUUCGACUACAUCAACCGUGUUAUAUACGCUUCCGCUUAGCACUCUACAAGGGUAGGUAGAUGCACUCCCCCUCUCGUAGAUGUUAGUCUCCAUAGAUAGAUCUUGGUGAGCGGAGGAAUUUUUUUGUUUCCCAUGCGACGUUCCCCAAUAGAUAUGUUUGAAAUUCAUUCCCAUUGCUUGCAUGGGACCUAAUCAUGCAUCCAGGGACACAUGUAUGAUUUUUCAACAUAUUUUCAUGCACUAGAUCUUGUGAUUGUAGUUCCAAUUUGAAUUAUGCACAUUAAAUGCCUAGAAAACUCAAUUAAUGUAUUAAAAAUGCCAAACGAACCGUGAAAAAUUCCAUAGUUAAGCAUGACAAUCAUAUUGCUCUAUGGUGACUCUAGAAAAAAAUUCAAGUCAAGAAGAGACAACCAAUGAUGUUGCUCUAUUAAUGUAUUAAAAACACAAUUAAUGAUUUGGUGAAUAUUUCCUAUCAGAACCACAUGGCUUCUUGUGAGAAUGUUCGGUUUGUAAGAUGUUUGUGCCAAGACUUGUCUCAAAUUGGGCAAUUUUUUUACCACAACACACAUGAGACAUGACAUGACACCAUGCAAAGUUUCAUCAAUUUUUAAGGAUCACUACUUCAGGAUGCUGCUAAUGCGACACUACAAUCACAAACCCUUUGACAAAACUGUGUGCGAUGCAUGAAUCGCAAACGGUAUAGUUCAAGCUCCAUCGCCAAUAAUGUCAAUUGUGUGCAAUGGCGAACCCAUCAAAUACGAUUCAUAUAACACUUACGUGUAUGAUUUGUGCCACACAGUUCUUCCAAACGAACUGUUUGCGAUUAGCUAAAAUAACACAAUCAGUUACAAAGAUCAAGAUGUGUGCGAUAGAGGGCAGACAGCUCACUACCAUAACAUGUGUGCGGCGAUAUAGCACAACACAAACAAUCCGGCAUAACAAGGUGUGUGUGAUAUACUUUGAUACGUCUCCAUGGUAUUUAUAAUUUUUGAUUGUUCCAUGCUAUUAUAUUAUCAUCCUAGGAUACUUUUGGAGUCAUAAUUUACCAAUUUAUAUUAGUUUUGAGCACUAACCUAUUGACCUAGUGUCGAGGCUAGUUGUUGUUUGCUAUGUGUUUUUUUUCUUUUCAGGUUUAUAGUACCAAACGAAGCCCAAUUGCCCCAAAACUUUCUUAUGAUUUUUUCUAGACCAAAAGGAGACCUAGAAUCCUCGGGAGAAGACGAGAGGCCACACUAGAGAGUCACAAGCCAACAUGGCGUGGCCAAGGGGGUCGGUGUGCCCUGAUGGCUUGUCCCUCCCUGGUGGCCCCUCUACCUCCGUUCUAUGGCCUAUAAAGUCACAUAUGUCCCAAAACCCCUAAAAAACAUCGUGAAACACUUUUCCGCCACCGCAAGUCUCUGUUCCAUGGUGAUCCCAUCUAGAGUUUCGUUCCACCACCCUGCUCGAGGGGGGAUAAAUCACGUAGGGCCUCACGUUAACCUUGCUUCCCUCAUCAUGAUGUGUGAGUAGUUUACCACAGAACUAUAGGUCUGUAGUUAGUACCUAGACAGCUCUCUCUCUCUCGAUCUUUAAUAUAAUGGGCAGCCUAUCUUCACUUUGAUCUGUCUGAUGAAAUUCUUUUGUAUGGUGCGUUUUUUGGGAUCCAAUGAAUUGUGGGUUUAUGUUAAGAUUAUUCAUGAAAAGUAUUUGAGUAUUGUCUGAUUAUUAUGAUUCUUUGAGUUUACUUUGUCUACAUCAUGUCAUCGUUCUCCAAGCGUUACUCUAUUUAUCAUGAACUUAAUACGUAGACAGGCAAGCAUUGAAACACUCUUAAAGUGGAGUAAUAAUAGUAGGUGCAGGCAAGAGUCGGCCUAUUUUCUUAUGGACGUGAUGCAUAUAUACACAUGAUCAAUCCCAUGAAAAUUACGUAACUAUCCGCUUUUCUCUCAAUUGCCCAAUAGUAAUUUGUUUACCCACUAUAUGUUCCUUUCAUGAGAGAUGCCAUUAGAGAACAAUACGCCCCCGGAUAUAUUCACUUAUAUAUUCCCAACACUUAUCUUUACCUCACUAUUCUUAUUGGUCUUCCAUUUUAUUUUGCAAUUUACAGUUCUCUACAAUUGUCUACACACCCCAUUCGCUUGCAAAUAACGAGAUCAAGGGGAUUGACAACCCACUUGCCCGCGUUGGGCAGAAGUUGUUUGUUCUUUUAUGUGCGACCGUUGAAGACGGUUGAGGAUUGAUAUUUCUAUUACUUUGAUAAACCUUGGUUUCUUAACUGAGGCAAAUAAUUACCCGUAUGGUGCUGCAAUUACCCGUUCCUCUUCACGGAAAACCCAAUGCAGAUCACAAGUAUCAGGAAGUAUUACUGGUGCCAUCGCGGGGAAUAUCAUCACUAACUAUCAAGUAACUUUACACAAAUUAUCAUUCACUUGUUCUUCUUUUUUAUUUUCUGUUAUAUUUUUUUGCUUCAAAAAAUUCAAAAAUACAAAAAUAUUUACCUUUGCUUGUUAGUAGUUUACUUCUUUGCUCAUUAGUUCACUUGUCCUUCUAGUUCCUCCCCUAUUUUGUUGAUUUGAGAGAAUGAAGUGUUUAAUUUUAAACAAAGGGGAGGAUAAAAAUUGAAAGAUGCUUCGUAUCGGAUUUUCAAUUCUCAAAAUAAAUCAACUCAUAAGCAAUCCACUACUACCUUGCUUCGCAAUUUCUAUGUGGGUGGGAGAACUAGGUAUUAAUUUGUCCUUCACACCAUCACCACUGGUAAUUUCUUAAUGUGUCACACUUUGGAUGCCUAUAACGCCAUUGAAAAUAUUGUGGGGUCACAUCCUACUAUUGUCAUGGAACCAUUUUAACAUUGGAAGAGUCAUUCAUACGCUUGAUCCUAUUCAAAAGAAAAUUACUACUAAUGAACAAAUUGAGGAGUUCGAUAAAAAGCUUCAUAAUCGUAUCACUCAAUUUGGGUCAUGGGUAGGAAUGACUUUGAAAACAAUGAAGGAGAAGGAUACUAUUAUAGAUGAGAGGGUAGAGAAAAUCAUGAAUGGGAUACAUAAAAUGUAGGAAGCCAUUGAUAAAUUAGGUUUUGGUUUCACUCCCUCCAAAACUAAUGCUAGUACCUCUCGAAGUAAAAGUCCCAAAUCAUAUAUAUUACUAAGAGCAUUAGUACCCUCCUACCAAAAGGAAUGAAGACCUCAAAAGGAUUAGUGUACAUGCCAAAUUUGUAAACUAUAUAAAGCAUCCUAUUUUCAAGUCCCCUAUUGUUAUUGAGAAUCUUGAUGUCAAAGAUGACAACAUUUGAUCAUAUGCAUCAUGCCUAGCUAGGGGCAUAAAACAAUAUGCUUGUUGCGAGGCAACCCAAUUGUUAUCUUCAUUUUUGUUUUUUUACUUUCUGUUUUGGUGUGAUGAAAUGAUUAUUGCCUAUGUAAUGAUUGUUCUUUUAUGUUUAAAUUAGUGUUUGUGCCAAGUUAAGCCUUUGGGAUGACUUGUAUGAUGAGUAGAAUUGAUAAGGUGCAAAAACAAAACUUUGACGUCCAAUGUUGAAUUUCUCUGAUUUUAGUAGAAUGUCAUUUUAAGAUGAAUGUUUUACACGGCAUUUGUAUACAAAUUCUUAGUUUGUCCUAAUUUUUCAGAAUGUUUCGAUUUACACAAGUAUGGGUUCAUUAUAGAUCAUUACAAAUUGUUAUGUCUUAGACAUAUUCUGUUUUCGCUUGCAUAGUCUGCUUGUUUUCAUGAUGCUAUGGAUUGUAUCCGCGGGGGGGGGGGGGGGNNNNNNNNNNNNNNNNNNNNNNNNNNNNNNNNNNNUGCGUAUGAUGCUGGGGGGGGGGGGCUGGUAUAAACCAUGUAGAAAAGUACAAUACAAUACCUAUUAUGCGACAAUGAAAUAUGAAUAAAUUUAUAACAGUACCUAAAUUAUUUCAUAUGUGCUCAUAGUAACUGAUCUCAUGAAGUUUUGUUGAGUUUUGUGUGAUUGAAGAUUUCAAAUUUUGGGUGUUAUCGCAAUGGAAAAAGGAAUAAAGAGCGGCAAGAGCCUAAUCUUGGGGAUGCCCAAGGAAUGCCAAGGUAAUAUUCUAGGAAUACUCAAGCGUCUAAGCUUGGGUAUGCCCCAAAAGGCAUCCCCUCUUUCGUCUCAAUCCAUCAGUAUGUCACUUGGAGCAACAUUUUUAUUCGUCACAUGAUAUGAGUUUUGCUUGGAGCAUCGUUUGCUUUUGUUUGAUUUUACUUUUAGUUUUCCACAAUCAUCAUUUUCGUAUGCUAGUAGGAAUCACUUUUUCAUUAUCAUAAACUUGGCUUGUAUAUUCCGAUGACAUGCUUCCUCAAAUGCUCGAGGUCUUCAUGAGCAAGCAAGUUGGAUGCACACUCCACUUAGCUUCAGUCGAGCUUUCAUACUCUUAUAGCUCUAGUGCAUCAUUUGCAUGGAAAUCCCUACUCCUUGCAUUGAUAUCUACCGAUGGGCAUCUCCAUAGCCCGUUGGUACGCCUAGUUGAUGUGAGACUAUCUUCUCCAUGUUUUACCCCUUUGAUAUCUACCACCAUAUUCUAUUCCACCUUUAUGAUAUGUCCAUGGUUCACGCUCAUGUAUUGCGUGAAGAAUAAAAAGUUGAUCCACAUUCAAAAAGUAUGAUCCNNNNNNNNNNNNNNNNNNNNNNNNNNNNNNNNNNNNNNNNNNNNNNNNNNNNNNNNNNNNNNNNNNNNNNNNNNNNNNNNNNNNNNNNNNNNNNNNNNNNGAGAGAGAGAGAG
Molecule: long non-coding RNA, 64701 nt
Filed under: Hordeum vulgare
Lineage: Eukaryota; Viridiplantae; Streptophyta; Magnoliopsida; Poales; Poaceae
Description: long non-coding RNA (HVUL_LNC013338)
Source: RNAcentral